RNAcentral lists this long non-coding RNA (60984 nucleotides) under Lactuca sativa (garden lettuce). Its description in RNAcentral is "long non-coding RNA (LSAT_LNC000844)". The record is from RNAcentral. Lineage: Eukaryota; Viridiplantae; Streptophyta; Magnoliopsida; Asterales; Asteraceae.
CAUGAUGCCAAGCAACCUAAAAGGACCAUGCAAAUCGGGUCAAGUACAUUCAAGAAUAGUUAUGAACUUAGACACCUAAUCCAACAAUACAUUGUGUAAAUUAAUAUUAAUUCAAGAAAAUAACAAAUGGAUAACCAACAUACCUCUUUAGGACAAACAUAAAAUAGUUGUCCAAUGUUAUUUCUAGUCAUUAAUGUAUUUAUAAUACCUUGAGAGCCACAAUCGAAGUAUGCCAUAUUUUGGAUUAUGAGCAAUGAAUGUUUAGUAGUAAAUUUAACAAGGUAAAGAGUUUGGACACUUGAAUUCCUUUAUAUAAUGGUAUGUACUAUGAUCAUAGAUUCCUGACACUAUUCCAAAACCACAUUCCAAAGCCAUAUUCCAGAAUUGCUAUUUUAGACCCUCAUUCUGGACGUUGCUUUUGAACCUUAAAAUGCACCUAGGAUGCCUCCUCAUAGGCUUUGAACCUUUGUUCAUUGCAUGCACUAUGUGUUUGGUAUUCAGAACAGUAAUUGUCAUAGAUUCCUGACAAUAUGCGUAGUCAUUCCAAACAGUAAAUGUCAAAGAUUUGUAACAUCCGAUGGUUCUAAGGUAUUAUUUAUUUAAUUGUAUAAAUCAUGUAAGUUGUGUUGGUAUUAGUGGAUUGGGCCUUUAUGAGUGUGCUUAGCCGAGGUUGUACACUAGGCGUAAGCUUGGUGUACGCGGGGUGUAGAUGGAUCAUAUGGAACGCGAAGACAUGUGUCACACCCCAAAACCAAGAAUGGCCGAAUACGUUCUGGGGUGGAGGACGUCAUUGUUAUCACGUUUUGAAAAUGGUGCGAUCCUUAGAAAAUCCUAUAUUUUCCAGCAAAAGUAGUCUUCUACCAAGACUCGGUUAUUUACCGGUUUGAUUCUUUGAAAAUGUAAUGGUUUCUUCCAGUGAAACUGUCAAUGUAAAAAUAUAGUUUUAAAUUUCAUUCAUGUAAAAUAAUUAAGAAAAAUAGAGUUUUACCCCAGCAGUAUCACUGCCGACUGAAUAUAGUAGAGGUGCAAGCUCUAGGUGUUUUAAAUGUGUAUACACCUCGGGGAGUCUGUUUUACUUUUAAUUCUUAUUGUGUUAGUUAAGGUUUGAAUGUGAACUUGUAUGUAACCAUGCUGAGUGACAGUAGUAUAAUACUUGACCCUCCAGGUCACAAGUAGUGUAGUGAUAUUUUGUUAUCCCUGGGCCUGGUCGGCUCGGACUGUAGCUAGCAGUCGGGAUGUGGGAGUGUCCAUCCCGUAUAGAUCUAUACACAUAGUGUUCGCUCUCCCUCCAGGAGGCUCAGGUUACAUGACAAUCGCAAAGCGAAGUGUCAUAUCGAGAAGUAGUGCCUCACAUUCUAUUUUAGUAUAUAUUUUCUCAUAUAGUAUAUACUAUUCUCAUCAUGUAGUGUAUAGUGUUCUCUUCGUAUAGUUUAUGGUGUUCUCUUCGUAUAUUGUAUAGUAUUCUCUUCGUAUAGCGUACGGUACGUAUAGACUCGUAACUGUACUGACCAUAGUGAGUAUCAUAGUAAUAAUUAGUAACGAGUGGCAAUCCUUAACUCUACCUAUUAUAGUUAAAUAGAAAUGUUGGUUGAAUGCCUUUGAUACACAAAGGUAUUGAAAUGAAGUGAAGAAUUUUAUAUCCAACACAAAUAUAUAUGAUAUAUAACUAAGAAUUCAAUGAUAGUCAGACAGAUAACAGAAUACCCUAAGUCGACAAUCAAACAAAAAUAGGAAAUAAGGUGACCUAUCUGUUCUAAGUCCUUCAAUCCUUACUUAUAUAAAUAUAUUAGUGUAGAUAUGAUUUGGAAAUAAAAUGAGUUUAAAAUAAUUGAAAAUAAAUAGUUUUAGAACCAUUAAACAUGAAAAUGAGUUUGGUAAACAUUUAAAACAAUUUUGUUGGGAAGGUAAUUUGAAAGUAUAGAAAAUCCUUUUGGUAACAAGUUAUAAAUCAGAUAUGAUUACUACAAUAACUUGUUUGAUUCAACUUGUAUUCCUCCCCCCCCCCCAUAAAAUCAUAUAAAAACAUUUAAAGGUUGAUUAAGGGGUAUGAACUCCCAGUUUAACGUAGGGUUCGAGUGUGCGAUUGAUAUGAGUGCUGAAUGUCACUGGAUGCUCUAAACACAAGUGGUCCCUAUUAAUCAUAUGGUGACACGUAUAUGAGUUAGAGCUAGGGUGUUUCAUGACUAAACAUGAUGGGCAAUCACCCUAAAGACUUGGAUUCAUUAGGAUUAAGUGUCCCAUGUUUCGUACUUAGUGAUUCUUACAAGUUUAAGGCUAAAUAUGGGUACCAGAGUGGGUGUAUGGCCAUAAAAGUGAGUGUGCAGCUAGGGAAUGUGGCCAUACUUGUGUGUGAGACUGCACACUAGAGUGUGCGGCCAUACAGAGGGUGUGUGCGGCUGUAAACAGGAGUGUGCGGCCGUACACUCCUUGUUUGAGUCCUAUGUGUCGAUUUUGAGGUGUUUCAGGUGUCAAACUAAGUCUUAGAUCGAUUAUAGAGGCCAUAUCCUCACUUUAGAGGAUGUUUUGAGUGUGUGCGGCCACCUGAUGAAGGUGUGCGGCCGCACUCCUUCAAGGGGUGAAGAACACGAAGAACACUAUGAGUUUUAAGCUUAGAUUCAAGUGUUUUACCUCUAUAACAAGUUGAAGAUGAUGUUCUUCACGUUUUGGAGGCCUUCUAAGUGAUCUUGGAUGAUGUUUCUACAGAGAGAAAGUAGAGAGAGAGAGAGAGAGAGAAUGUGCAGCAAAAAGUGAAUGGAAAGGGGGGUCCUCUACCAUAUAUAGGGUCAGGUGUGAGGCUGGAAGGGGUUUGCGGUUGGCUGGCUGUGCGCGGCCGCACACACCUCUCUUGGUGUGUUUGGCUUGAUUUUUGCAAUGCAACACCCUUCCUAAUCCUUCUUAAGGUCCAUAUCUAUGAUAUACUAAGCCAAAAGCACUCGUGCGGACCCAGCAUUCUGCUAAGAGAUGAUAAAUUCAAGUGAAUUAUAGAUAUAUGGAUCGAUUGUACAGUGUGAAAGUGUCGGGUUGUCACAUACUCCCCCCGUUAAUGGGAAUUUCGUCACAAAAUUAGAGUUCAAGCAGCUAAGUUAGUACAAGCAACUAAGUAAAAAGAUGGGGAUAUUUAAGUUUCAUUUGAUCCCCGUGCUCCCAAGCAAACUCCAGUCCUCGUUUGGUGUUCCAACGAACCUUCACUAUAGGGAUGCGGCUUUGUGUCGUUCGUUUAACCUCUCGAUCCAUAAUCUCCACCGGUUCUUCCAUGACGUUGAGGCUCUCGUUGAUCUCGAUCUCGUCGAGUGGGAUUACAAGAGUCUCGUCGGAUGGACACUUUUCAAGUUUGAGACAUGGAAUGUAGGAUGUAUGUUACUAAGCUCGCGAGGUAGAUUGAGUUUGUAAGCUACGGGGCCAAUUCUAGCGAGGAUCUCGAAAGGCCCUAUGUAUCUUGGAUUUAGCUUUCGACACUUUCUAAAGCGUAUCAUGCCUUUCCAGCGUGAGACUUUCAGAAAGACUCGGUCUCCCACCUGAAACUCCAAGGGUUUUCUUUGUUUGUCUGCAUACUUUCCUGUCGGUCUCUAGCGGCCUUCAAUCUUUCACGAAUCUGAACAAUUUUCUCGGUCGUUUCUCGAAUGAUCUCCGUACCUGUGAGAGUGAUGUUAGGCAUUCGUCCUUUAGCUAACUGAGUGUCACCCACCUCAGCCCAGCACAGAGGGGAUCUGCACUUUUGUCCGUAGAGGGCUUCGAAUGGAGCUGCCUUGAUGCUCAUGUGGUAACAAUUCUUGUAGGAAAACUCAACAAGGGGUAAGUGGGUAUCCCAUGCCUUACCAAAGUCCAUCACACAGUCUCGCAACAUAUCUUCCAUAGUUUGGAUAGUCCUCUCACUUUGUCUGUCGGUCUGUGGAUGGUAGGUUGUACUCAUGUCCAACCUCGUUCCUAAGGUGCUUUGAAGUGAUUGCCAGAAUCUCGAAGUGAACCUACUAUCCCUAUCGGAGAUAACAGAUAUAGGAACACCAUGCAGUCAAACAAUAUCUUGGAUGUAGAUUUGUGUGAGUCUAUCCAUCUUGAAGGUUUCUUUGAUUGGCAGGAAGUGGGCGGAUUUUGUCAAUCGAUCGACAAUUAACCAAAUGGUAUCGUACCCACUCGGGGAUUUGGGUAAUUCGUUAAUGAAAUCCAUAUAAAUCAUCUCCCAGUUCCACUCAGGUAUCUCAGGCUGCUGGAGCAAACCUGAGGUUUUCUAAUAUUCGACCUUCUCCUUGGCAUAAGUCAGACACUUGCCCACGAAGGUAGCGAUCUCGGCUUUCAUGUUUGGCCACCAAUAUAACUUCUUGAGAUCAAGUUACAUCUUAUCCGAACUUGGGUGAACGGAAUAUCGAGUGUUGUGGGCUUCCUUCAUGACCAAGUCUCUGAAACCACCGUGUCGCAGUGUCGAUAUUCGGUCCAUGAGAUAUAAGGCUCCGUCACCCUCAACUUCCAGGUUCUUAUCCAUUCCUCGCAGGAAUUCUCCUGCUACGUUUUUAGGUUUCAAGGCUUCGAGCUGAGCCUCUAUAAUCUGUGUGGAUAGAUGGGAAUGGAUAGUCAUUUUCAAUGAUUUAACUCUACGACCAGAAUAUUCUUUCCGACUUAGGGCGUCUGCCACUACAUUGGCUUUACCCGGAUGAUAACGAAUUUCAUAUCCGUAGUCAUUGAGUAGUUCGACCCAUCGUCGUUGUCUCAUAUUGAGCUCCUUCUGGUUGAGUAUGUGUUGGAGGCUUUUGUGGUCAGUGUAUAUCGUGCUCUUCGUACCAUGCAGGUAGUGUCUCCAGAUCUUUAGAUGAAACACCACCGCUCCUAAUUCGAGGUCGUGUGUGGUGUAGUGAACUUCAUGUGUCUUCAGUUGUCUUGAGGCAUAGGCGAUGACCAUACCUCAUUGCAUCAGGACACAACCGAGCCCCUUAUUGGACGCAUCGCAAUAUACCACAAAAGCUUCUGUCCCUUUGGGGAGGGAUAGUAUCGGUGCGGUGCAUAAGGGUUGUUUCAGGGUUUGAAAUGCCUUCUCUUUUUUCUCUCCCCAGUCAAAAGCCACGCCCUUCUGGGUUAAUCUUGUAAGGGGUUUCGCGAUUCGAGAGAAGUUCUGUGUGAACCUGCGGUAAUAGCCAGCGAGACCUAGAAAUUGACGAAUUUUUGUAGGCAUCCGCGGUGCUGACCAGUUCUCAAUAGCUUUAAUCUUGGAUGGGUCCACGUGGAUCCCUUCUUCGCUAACCACGUGUCCUAAGAAUUCAACUCUUCGGAUCCAAAAUUCGCAGUUAGAGAACUUCGCGUAUAACUUCUCGGAUCGUAAGGUUUCCUGGACUUGUCGUAAAUGAUCGCUAUGCUCCUCCUUACUUAGAGAGUAGAUAAGUAUGUCAUCAAUGAAGACGAUGACGAACUGAUCCAAGUAAGGAUGGCACACUUUGUUCAUUAAGUCCAUGAAGACUGCGGGUGCAUUGGUCAGUCCGAACGGCAUCACAUUGAAUUCGUAAUGUCCGUGACGAGUUCGGAAAGCUGUUUUUGAAACAUCCUCCUCGAGCACUCGUAACUGAUGAUACUCGGACCUUAGAUCUAUAUUAGAAAAGUAACUCGACCCUUGCAAUUGGUCGAAUAGGUCGUCUAUACGAGGGAGAGGGUAGCGAUUUUUGACCGUCAUCUUGUUGAGUUCCCUAUAAUCGAUGCACAUACAGAACGAUCUGUCUUUCUUCUUUACGAACAAGACCGGUGCUCCCUAGGGCGAGAAGCUUGGUCUUAUAAAGCCCUUGUUGAGCGGUUCAUUAAGUUGAGCGGAUAGUUCUUGCAUCUCAGUAGGCGUUAAACGAUAGGGCGAUUUGGGUACGGGGGUAGCUCCUAGAAUUAAGUCGAUCCUCAAUUCCAUCUGACGUUGGGGAGGUAAACCUGGCAGCUCUUCUAGAAAGACGUCGGGGAAAUCGCAUACUAUGGGGAAGACUUUUAAAUCUUCCGUUUUCUGGCUUGAGUCCACAACGUGUGCAAGGAAUGCACGAUAUUCUUUACGCAAGUACUUCUGGGCUUGAAUACUUGAGAUGAGGCGAAGACUCGUACUGGGUUUGUCUCCAUAGAUUAACAGAGUUUCGUUAUUCGCUAGAUUUAGACGGAUGGAUUUGUCGGCGUACAGGAUAUCAGCACGACAGAGACUCAACCAGUCCAUGCCCAUGAUGACAUCAAAACUUUUGAUCGAUACUGGUAUGAGGUUGAUUGGGAAUGAGUGAUUAUCUAGCGUGAGGGUGCAACACAUGUAGAUCUCAUUAGAACUCUCUGUCUUGCUGUUAGCCAUUUCUACGACGAAAGUUUCUUUUAGUGAUUGCGGGGAUUGUUUAAGUAGGUGUUUAAAGUUUUGAUUUACGAAGCUUCUUUCUGCUCCAGUAUUGAAUAGGAUACAAGCAUAAGAUUUAUCAAGAAGGGACGUACCCGUGACUACUGUGGGGUCUGCUACUGCUUCAUUGUGGCCAAUAGUAAGUAGUCUUCCUGUUCCUCCAGUAUUCCCAGCUUUCGGACAGUUUCUUUUGAAAUGCCCUACUUUGCCAUAGCCAUAGCAGGCUUGGCUUACUCCCGUGUUGGGGACCUGAGAAAUGGUUUUGGGUUGAGACUUGCAAAACUGGAUAGUAUGGCCCUUCCGGUCGUAGUUAGUGCAGUGCAAUUCACGGUAGGGGCCGUUAUGAUGAAAAGAGCACUUAUUGCACUUGGGUGGAUUCCAUGCAUAUGUUUUGGUUGGUACAGGGGCAGCAGGAGUAGUGGCAGCAUGGACAGCUACUACUUGUUGGUUUUUGGAAGAGGAUUUAGUUGACUUGCCCUUCUUUCGAUCCCAACGCUUCCUCUUCUUGUCGACAGUUUUGGGCGGUGCAAUGGCAAUCGUCAGGGUUGUUGAUGGAGUGGAGGGAGUUUCAUGAUCAAUCAACUUUUGGGUCAAUUCCUUGGCGCUGUCGAAGGUCGUCGGGCGUGAUGCUAAAAAGUUUCCUCAAUACGGGGGUACUAAACCCCAGAUGUAUCGUUCAAUCUUUUUGCCCUUAGUGAGGAUCAUGUUAGGACACAUAGUUACCAGGUUGCAGAACCUGGCCGUAUAGGCCACCAUGUCGGUCCCUUUCAUCUUGAGGUUCCAGAGUUCCUCCUCAAGUUUCUGAACUUCGCCCCUAGGGCAGUACUCCCUUCUCAGAAGGUCCUUCAGUGUGUCCCAGCCUAUGGCGUUGACUGUUACCAAGGAGAGUGAAUUGACAUGGCCGUUCCACCAUGUUAGGGCCCUUUCAGUAAAGGUGGCAAUGGCGAACUUAAUCUUGCUUUCCUCAAGGCACGAGCACAUCUCGAAGGUGGCUUCAGUUCUUUCGAUCCAUUGGGAAAGUGCAAUGAUCCCUCCGGUUCCAUUGAAGAAUGAUGGUUUGCAGCUCAUGAAAUCCUUAUAGGUGCACCCCUGUGUACGUGCAUGGAUUUCACCAUGUCUAGAGUUGGUGCCCAUUUCGGCUCCACUUGCAUUGCCAGAAUUCAUUUGGGCCAUAGGUGCAGUUACAGCUACGGUUGUAGCUGUCUGAAACAUCACUGGAUCGAACUACAGAGGAGGAGAUGGUGGUGGAGUUUAAGUUGCAGGUCUGCCCCUGCUCGGACGCUUGAGAGGAGGCAUCUUUUACUAAAAAUUUAUAAAGAUGAUGAUCAUAAUGAGAAACAAUUCUGAUCAUGAUGAAAAAUGUUUCACGGUUUAAACCGCCAUAGUCCAACUAUCAGAUAGAGUUAUGGCAACAGAGUAGGGAAACAUAUGAUUAUAGACUUCCCAACAGACUAAAUAACUGCCAAUGCUACUGGUAUUACUGAUGUGGAUAAGUUCGGGAAAAUUGGCCUAACAGUAAGUCUUUCAUCAAACCAUAUGAGGGGAAAAUGAUUGACAGUUUAGAAGACUACAUAGCAUAAUGAAAGAUAGGAAUAUUAUAUAGACAAGUGUUUCAUUCAAGCGCAGAUGCUAAAUGCUAUUUCAAAGUCAGAAGAAAAGAUGUGUUAGUCAUCUUUUAACGGCGGCGACGGAUGUUUCUCGGGCGAACUCUAAGGUCUUCCAGUUCACGUUUCAUGUCGAGGAGGUGUCGCUCGUAGACCCUCUGGCGAACCCGGAGCUCUAUGACUUUAGCCCGAGUCUCAGCUAAUGCCUGACGCAAGGCCUCGUGGUUCGCUGUAGACCUCUCCCUAGCAUGCUCCAGAUGACUGGUGUGAAUGGAGCGUAGUCCUCCAUUUGUAUCAACCUCUACGAUACGCUGGAUGGCUGUCCUGCCUUGGAUUUCGUUGCGGGAAACUCAUCGGACCAGGAUGGGCAAGAUUCUGUCCGUUGAUCCUACUUCGCUCGUAUCAUAAAAGCUUCGGUCACCAUUGAAUGGCAUGGGUUGAUUUUGCUCUUCACUCUACGUCUCUAUGCAUUCCACCCAUGCAAGCGUCGGGCCAUGGAAGGCCUGGCGAGGGUUAGGGUUUGGGACCGGAGCCACAAGAGGUAGGUUGUUGACUUCGGGUUCGGAGUCCGACCCAUCCGAGAAGCCUAUUGCAUGGUGAUCAUCCAAAGGAAUUGGGUGAUCAUCUUCUUACUCUUCAUCAAUCCAUCCUCUAAUGCCUUGGUUCGGGUAGUACGGAUCGCUGGGAAGGUGGAAGCCAGUCGUGCUAUCUACGCGAUAAUGGGGAAAGAAAGGUUAGUAGACGUGCUAAUCUAAGAUACUUAUAAGAUGAUCAUUAUUAGUCGACCCAAUACUUGCGUAGUGCAUACACAUUACAUGUAACCGAAGCGGGAUAGACCUUCGAAUAAGUGACCCUAACUCUAAGUCAACAAUAAAACAAGAACAGGAAAUGUAGCAAAGGUCACAGAUUCUAAGUCUAUAGCGCCUUAGUCACAUGUAACCAUGGUGUAUCCACUUAGAUACUAUUGCCCUAUUAGUAUCGACCCUUUUAGUUCUCACAUAUGUAGUUAAUAGAAUGUAGAAUACUCUUGUAGUAUUCUUGUUCUGAUGUUCUUGUGGUAGUGUUGGUAUGUUCUUAGACUUGUUGUAACACCACUAUCAUUCUUAGGCACAUUCUAGUCACUCCCAGGAAAAUGUAGUUGAUCAGGCUACAUCCACCCAGAAUUGACUAUAUGUCUGUAAGUCUAAUUGUGUUGUUCAACAAUCUUAAUACUUUUGUUUUGUUCUAGUAUGAUACUGACUCUGUGUAUUGGGUGAACGUUUAUAUAUACUUAGUUAAAUAUUUUAUAAUUUAAAAGUAUAUAUUCUUGGUCAGAGUGCUUUUAAUCCCGAAGUGUUUAUAGUUCGUAUAUAUUUUAUGGGUUGAUAUACUUAAUUCACGAUAAACAAGGCUCUGAUACCAAUCUGUCACACCCCAAAACCGAGAACAGCGGAAUAGGUUCUGGGGUGGAGGACGUCAUGUACAGUAUCUUAACAAUGCAUAAUAUUAAAAACAAGUAACAACAUCCAUUGCAUUAAGAUAAUAAUUGUAAUACAAGUGUGUUUUGUACAGUUUGAUAGACACCAAAAGUAUAAUCAAAAUAAAGAUAUGACUUGUAUAUGCACCAUCUUCUAAAAAGCUGCAUCUGUACCUGUCUACUAAUGACCUAAGAAUACAAGUUAUUUUGAAAACGAGUAGCAGCAUAAGGCUGGUGAGAUCAUAAGUAUUUAGUGUCAUUGCUUGAAUAAAAGUGUUUAAAAAUUUUGUGAUACAAUAAUUGUUAUAACAUUUUGAAAAUGGUAAGAUCCCUUGAAAAUCCUAUAUUUUCCAGCAAAAGUAGUCUUCCACCAAGACUCAGUUAUUUACCCGUUUGAUUCAUUGAAAUUGUAAAGGUUUCCUCUAGUGAAACUAUCAAUGUAAAAAUAUAGUUUUAAAUUUCAUUCAUGUAAAAUAAUUAAGAAAAAUAGAGUUUUACCCCAGCAGUAUCACUGUCGGAUGAAUGUAGUAGAGAUGCAAGCUUCAGGUGUUUUAAAUGUGUAUAGACCUCGGGGAGUCUGUUUUACUUUUAAUUCUUAAUGUGUUAGUUAAGGUGUGAAUGUGAACUUGUAUGUAACGAUGCAGAUUGACAGUAGUAUAACAGUUGACCCUCCAGGUCACAAGUAGUGUAGUGAUGUUUUGUUAUCCCUGGGCCUGGUCGGCUCGGACUGUAGCUAGCAGUCAGGAUGUGGGAGUGCCCAUCCCAUACAGAUCUAUACACAUAGUGUUCGCUCUCCCUCUAGCAGGCUCUGGUUACACGAAAAUCGCAUAGAGAAGUGUCGUAUCAAGAUGUAGUGCAUCACAUUCUAUUUUAGUAUAUAUUUUCUUGUAUAGAAUAUAGUAUUCUCUUCAUGUAGUGCAUAGUGUUCUCUACGUAUAGUUUAUAGUGUUCUCUUCGUAUAGUGUAUAGUGUUCUCUUCGUAUAGUGUAUGGUACAUAUAGACUCGUAAUUGUACUGACCAUAGUGAGUAUCAUAGUAGUAAUUAGUAACGAGUAGUAAUCCUUAACUAUACCUAUUAUAGUUAAAUAGAAAUGUUGGUUGAAUGCCUAUGAUACACAAAGGUGUUGAAAUGAAGUGAAGACUUUUAUAUCCAACACAAAUAUAUAUCAUAUAUAACUAAGAAUUCAAUGACAGUCGGACACAUAACAGAAUACCCUAAGUCCACAAUCAAACAAGAACAGGAAAUAAGGUGAGCUAUCAGUUCUAUGUCCUUCAAUCCUUACUUAUAUAAAUAUAUUAGUGUAGAUAUGAUAUGGAAAUAAAGUGAGUUUAAAAUCAUUGAAAACAAAUAGUUUUAGAACCAUUAAACAUGAAAAUGAGUUUGGUAAACAUUUAAAACAAUUUUGUUGGCAACGUAAUUUGAAAGUAUAGAAAAUCCUUUUGGUAAGAAGUUAUAAAUCACANCCCCCCCCCCAUAAAAUCGUAUAAAAACAUUUAAAGGUUGAUUAAGGUGUAUGAACUCACAGUUUAACGUAGGGUUCGAGUGUGCGAUUGAUAUGAGUGCUGAAUUUCAAUGGAUGCUCUGAACACAAGUGGUCCCUAUUAAUCAUAUGGUGACACGUAUAUGAGUUAGAGCUAGGGUGUUUCAUGACUAAACAUGAUGGGAAAUCACCCUAAAGACUUGGAUUCAUUAGGAUUAAGUGUCCCAUGUUUCGUACUUAGUGAUUCUUACAAGUUUAAGGUCAAAUAUGGGUACUAGAGUGGGUGUAUGGCCAUAAAAGUGAGUGUGCAGCUAGGGAAUGCGGCCAUAAAAAGGGUGUGUGCGGCUGUACACAGGAGUGUGCAGCUGUAAACUCCUUGUUUGAGUCCUAUGUGUCCAUUUUGAGGGGGUUCAGGUGUCAAACUAAGUCUUAGAUCGAUUAUAGAGGUCAUAUCCUCACUUUGGAGGAUGUUUUGAGUGUGUGCAGCCACCUGAUGAAGGUGUGCGGCUGCAAUCCUUCAAGGAGUGAAGAACACAAAGAACACUAUGAGUUUUAAGCUUAGAUUCAAGUGUUUUACCUAUAUAACUAGAUGAAAGAUGAUGCUCUUAACGUUUUGGAGGCCUUCUAAGUGUUCUUGGAUGAUGCUUUUAGAGAGAGAAAGUAGAGAGAGAGAGAGAAGGUGCAGCCAAAAGUGAAUGGAAAGGGGAGUCCUCUACCAUAUAUAGGGUCAGGUGUGAGGCUGGAGGGGGUUUGUGGUAGGGUGUGCGGUUGGCUGGCCGUACACUCUAGGGUGCGGCCGCACACACCUCUCUUGGUGUGUUUGGAUUGAUUUUUGCGAUGCAACACCCUUCCUAAUCCUUCUUAAGGCCCAUAUCUAUGAUAUACUAAGCCGAGAGCACUCAUGCGUACCCAACAUUCUGCUAAGAGAUGUUAAAUUGAAGUGAAUUAUAGAUAUAUGGAUCGAUUGUACAGUGUGAAAGUGUCGGGUUGUCACAACAUGCACGUGAGCGCAACGUACAAGAUAGUACGCACAUCCUACAUGGUAAGAAUCAAAAUCCUAAUUUCUAGGGUUCAAUCCCUAUAUAAUGUCAUUAAGUCCCAAGUGUUAUCCUCAUUAUCAACCUCUAUUGCCUAGAAACCCUAUUAUCAAACCGUAUAGCAUCUGGGUGUGUUAUUGACCUUGUGGAGUGUAUUUUUGGUAGUUUGUUGCCUUGGAAGUAAGAAGAAGUUGGUGACAAAGAGUUGUUGGAGAUUAAGCUUGAAGAUCCAGGUUAUCAUCAUCUUUUGGCACUCAUUUGAGGUAUUAAUUUAGAACUUGUUGUGUUAUAGCUUAGAUCUCUUUUGUUUUGAAUUUUUAGACCCUUUUUGGUCCUAUAGAUGAGAACUUCUUGAUUAUUGUCAUUUCUAAAGCUUAGAGUUGCUACUCUUGGUGUUCUUUUGGUCCUAGAGUUCAUUUUAUGGAAGUAGAGUGUUGUAUUUCGGGUUUGGGUUCAUUUGGGGAAUGCGAAGCCACCAAUUUUAUGACUUUAUGGUUUCAGAUGUUAUAUAUAACUCAGAUCUAUGAUGGGGACCCUUAGACUUAAGUAUUUAAGAGCUUAUUGGAGAAAUGGCUUUGUGGGUGAGUACGCUGGUCAUACAAGUUUGUACGCACAACGUACAAGCGAUGCGGCGUGUACGCUUAGCGUAUAGUUGAUUAUGCCCUACAUACUCAAUGAUUUGGCUUUGCGUCUUUUGGGCCUCGGUUGGACUAAGGAAUGUUAUGUUGAUACAAGGCACCAGAAGCGUUUUUGGACUAAGGAAGUUUAUUGGGUUGUGUGAUACAAGGCACCAAAAGCGACCCUUGAAAGGUUAUGUUGAUAUAAUUGUUGUAUGUGUGAUACUUGUAUAUGCUUGUUUAUGUAUGUUUAUCUGGCAGGCCCAAUAUACGAGUGUGGGUGGGGGUCGUAUCUUAUUCGGUCGGGCCCGUUAUGUGAGUGUCGGUUGGGUCCGUAUCUUAUUGAGCAGAGCUCGUUAUGCGAGUAUGGGUGGGACCCAUAUCUUAUUAAGUGGGGUCUGUUAUAUGAUAUGCAUGGUAUACGGUAUCUUAGGGAACUCACUAAGCUUUGUGGUUAUGAUUUUUAGUUUAUGUUUCAACUACUUUCGGUUCCAAGGUGAAGAGCUCGGGCUGACUGCAUCGCGCACACCAUAUGGAUUCUGUUUAUGGGACAUACUCUGAUUUUUAUGAUGUUGACAUACCUAUUUUAUUGGGUUGUAUGAAUAAUGUUUUGGAAUAUUAUUUUUACCUAUUUCAGAAAUGAAAGGUGUGGUGCAUGCAAGAAGCCGAGCUCAAGUAACUAUCUCAAGAUACCUAUACAUGUUUUAUGAUAUGCUUUGAAUUGUGAAUCUGUGAAUCGCAUGCUAGAUUAGUGUUAAGGAUCUAGAAGAAAUGCCUUUGUAUUCCUGUUGUAUGAGCUUAUAGAGUUGCAUGCUAGUGCUGAUCAGUCAGUGAUAGAUGGACUGAUUAGGUUAUGCUUGGUUCUGAUUAGUUGAUGCUCGAAUGGUGCUUGCUUUUUGCUUUUAGGAGUUCUCACUAGCUUCAGCUCUUGUUUGAGUCCAACCAUUAUAGUAUGAGACCUCCCACUUGAAGAAUUAUCUAGUUUUUGUAAUAUGUAAUUGUAUUCAUGGGCUAGUUAGAAGAAGUUCGUAGGAGUUCCUUCUGCAAUUGGUGGAAGAGCGUGGUGUGGAGUUUGCCCUAGGAAAACCUAGGAUGAGAUCUAGUGUUGGGAGAUUUAUCAUUCAGCUCUUGUUUGAGUCCAACCAUUAUAGUAUGAGACCUCCCACUUGAAGAAUUAUCUAGUUUUUGUAAUAUGUAAUUGUAUUCAUGGGCUAGUUAGAAGAAGUUCGUAGGAGUUCCUUCUGCAAUUGGUGGAAGAGCGUGGUGUGGAGUUUGCCCUAGGAAAACCUAGGAUGAGAUCUAGUGUUGGGAGAUUUAUAUAUGGGGGGAAUUGUUUGGGAUAUAAAAUAACUUGGUUAAAUUAAGGCACUUCUUGAGGAAAGUAGGAAUAGAUGUGGAAGUUAGUAUGGGCCCAUACUACUAGAAGCAGCGGAUUCGUACUCGAUUCAAUGAGGGUUGAGAUGAAGCCAGGGAGCUUGUGAAGUUGUGAUACCCCCAUGUUUAUUCUUGAUGUGUAUUCUGAUGGUUUGUAUUGGUCUAUUUUCAGUACGGUGUUAUUGUGAGGCAUAACGGUUGGCAAUUCUAGUGUUGGGAAGGUCUCGGGCUCAGGUUCUAGAGCCAAGCAGCUUGAUGAACAUAUGAGGGAGUUCAUCUCGUCUGAAAUUAUAAGCAGUAUCGUUAAGCAGAAUCCUGUGAUCUUUGGCAUGGUCAAGUAGGGUAUUUUGGAGAUUCUUGAUGAGCGGUUCAACGCCUUUCACGCUGAGAUUUUAGAUAUUGUCGGGAUGUGUUCACUAACUUUUAGGGAGUUUCAGGCAAUGUACCAGCCGUUAUCCCGAGGGGGACAAGGUCAGACUAGCUUCCUGCCUCUUGAAAGAUAGGGCACGUGAUUGGUGGGAGGCGGUAAAGCACCCUUUGGGUGAUGUUGUUGUUGAUUUAAUGACCUGGGUUGAUUUCUCAACCAAGUUCCGAGCUGAGUUUGCACCGGUGAUUGAGGUGCAACAGUUGGUGUAAGAGUUCCAGGAUCUCCUCCAGACUACUAAGACGGUGGCUGAGAUCACCGCUACGUUCAAGUGGAGGGCACUUCUGGUUCCGAAGUAUGUGGCUGACGAGGAGAUGAAGAACGCUCGGUACCAUGAGAUGCUGAGGAGUGACAUUCAGAAGUUUGUUAGCCGAUCCAGCUGGAUGAUGCUGGAAGACAUGAUAUAAAGGACUAGGGAGAGGGAGAUUGAUUUAGAGAUGGAGAAGAAGAGGAUGCCAGAUUCUACGUCUAGUGUUAAGGGUUCAGGUAAGAAGCUCAAGAUGAUUUAUUCGAGAAGGAAGGGAAAGCAGGGCUGAGGUCGUUGCGGCAAGUGUGGCAGGUCGCACGAGGGCGUGCAGGGUGGGUGGUUCUGGCUACUUCAAGUGUGGUCAAACUGAUCAUAUAAGCUAAGAUUUUACUGCUACCACUACCAUCACCUAGAUAUCUGAUCUGAUUUUCUUUCAUUGCAAUCAAAGAGGCCACAAGAAGGCCAAUUAUCUGAGUUUGGUGGCACCAGGACUGGUGUCAGCACCCGCUCCUGCGACUCUUCAGAUUACUGAAGGCCGUUAGGGCCAGGUAGAUGCCCCUGCGACAAUGAGCAAGGCUUUGUAGCUGACAGCAGAGGAUGCGCGUGCAACUCUCAAUGUGGUGACGAGUAUGUAUCUUCUCCUUAGCUCUUUUUUUAUAUUGAAUUACUUGCUUAUGUUUAUGUGCUUUAUUUUAGGAUCAUUCCUUGUGAACGGUAUCUCUACUUUAGUAUUGUUUGACUUGGGGGCCUCCUAUCUUUUGUAUCGCUUCCGCUUAGCAAGAGAUCUGUUGGUGCUCUGGGGGAGCUGGAUUGUCCUCUUGAUGUUGUGUUGAUGAUAGGACGGUUCGGGUUGUGGGGGUUCAUCGUAGUUAUGGAUUGCUUGAGCCUAAUGGGGCAGUGAUCAAUUGUGAGCAUCAGUUUGUUCGGGUUCGGACCCCAAGUGGGGGAGAGUUGGUGAUUCAGCGUGAACCGAUUUUGUUUUCUACAGUGAGAGCCAGACGUUAUCUUCAUCAGGUUUGUUCGGGUUAUGUCUCUUAUGUCAUGGAUACCUGGGAUAAGGGUAAGGAAAUUGUGGAUGAUGUGCUAAUUGUGUUGGAUUAUUUGGAUGUGCUCCCAGAGGAUUUUCCUGGGAUACCUCCGGAGAGGCAGGUGGAGUUUAGGAUUUAGCUGGUUCCAGGUGUAGCUCCGACAGCCAAAACACCUUAUCGGAUGGCUCCUCCCUAAAUGCAAGAGUUUUCUACACAGCUGUAGGAGCUGUUAGACAAAAGAUUUAUUUCGCCGAACAGUUCUCCUUAGGAAGCAUCGAUUUUGUUUGUGAAGAAGAAGGACGAGUCUAAUCGUAUGUAUAUCGACUACCAUCAGAUGCAGGUCUAGGAUGAGGAUGUGCAUAAGACGACUUUCUGGACUCGAUAUAGUCAUUAUGAGUUCCUGGUGAUGCCUUUUGGGCUCACCAAUGCUCCGGCCACAUUCAUGGAUCUCAUGGACUCCGUGUGUAGACCCAUGUUGGAAUAGUGUCCAAGGUCAUUAACUAUUGGUACUAUUUCUAAUACUAGUAGGGUCCUUUUGGGUUGCCCUCAAGACCCAAAUUGAGUAGAAUAAAUAAAGGAGAAAUUACUUUAUUAAUUAUCAUGGUUAAUAAUUAAUUUGAAACUAAUUGGAAAUAUACUUUCGGAAUUAAUUAAUAGUUUAAUUAAUUAAAGGGUUGAAUGUUCAUUACUCGAUAGUUGGUUAAUCAAGAAUGUUCCCGGACCUUAUGGAAUUAGGGUUGGAUGAAAAUCACUCCAUCCCACAUCGGAAAGGAGUGAAAUUUCAUGGUUAUUUUCCCAUCAAACAUGGGAAGGAGUACAAAACCUAAGGAGGCAUCCAAGACUAUACAUAGGGCCUUAGGGAUUUCGGUCCUCCUUGCACCUUGGCUUGAAGUAUUCGCCAACCCUUCUUCCUCCCCCACUUAGGGACGAUUUCUAACCCCUUUGGGUUUGUGCAAUUGACCCUUCUCCUAGUUAUUUUUAUUCCACUCUUUCAUGUCAUUGGGUGUGAUACAAUUAGAGGGAUUCUGGUUUGGGUCCUUUCAUCCAAGCAACUCCAUGGAGGUUGAAGAUCUCUAGCAUGGAGAUCAAGGGCAUCAUAAGAGAUAUGAUUUCUUAAUUAUGUUUUAGUUUUCUAUGGUUGAUCUAAUUAGCAUGAAGCCAUAGAUCCAUAGGAUGCAUGUACACUUAGGUAUAUUGUUGAUUCCGUUUUUCUGCUGCCUAGUUUAAGAGUGUAUUUGAUGCAUAGAAAACCCAACAGUGGUAUCAAAGCCAUUGGUUCAUGGUUACCUUCACCCUAGAUCCAUGUUUUCUGAAAAUGCUUGUUUGAAAUUGAAUGGUAGAAGGAUUAUUGAAGAAUUCCUAAUUGAUAAUACCUUAGCCGCAGCUCACGACGUGAGCUCAGCAGAACUAGGAUUUCAGGUUUUUUUUUCCAUUUUUUGAAUAUGAGGCUUUAUCAAACAUGGAUAAAUACCUAAUUUAAUUUGUUUUUGAAUCUGGAAAAAUUGAUAUAUAUUAUUUAAAUGUGUUUAUUUGAAUUUGAAUAUUUAUUUGAUAAUGGAUCAAUAUUAUUUAAAUGUGUUUAUUUCAAUUUGAAUAUUUAUUUGUUAUUUAAAUUGUGAAUUUAAAUAUUUAAUAUUUUUAUAAUAGAGAUUUAUAAAUUUGAAUAUUACACCCUUAUGAUUUAUUAAUUGUUACAUUGCGCCCUUGCAAAUAAUUAGAAUUAAUAACAGACAACUAAAAUUAAAGAGUUCUAAAUUNUCAUACAUAUAUAGAUAUAUAUAUAUAUAUAUAUAUAUAUAUAUAUAUAUAUAUAUAUUAGAAUUGUGUCUACUAUAUGUAUAAGAAAGUUACAACAUGCGCCCUCGCGUGUUUAAAUAUUGACAUGGCCAAUCUUACCAGGACUAGGCUCACCCGUUGUAAUGUAGGGGUUUAAGGAGGUCUCUUUGAUUCCUAAUAAGGUCGGUUUUUAAUAUGCUUCAUGCUUACCACCCUCACCACCCUAUUGCAUUUUGAGAAUGGUGUUACCGAAAGGGUUUGAUAGUGAUAAUGGUCAAUCUAAAAGUAUUCUAAAUACAAGUGUAAAACAAAAUCCCUUUUUAUUAAUUGAAUGUGAGUUUAUAUUAUUCAUGAAAAUUGCACAUUCUCUUUAUAUUCUGUUAGUGGAGCUCGUGUGGUUAACCGACAUAACAAUCUAGAAUAUAGUUGAGAAUGAUAUGGAACUCACGAAUCUCAAGCAUAAGUUGAGCUGGGGACCAUGCGAUUUUGCAUGGUUAAUUCUUAAUCUAUUUAAUGUGAAUCUUAUGUUAUACAUAAAAGUUGCACAUUCUCUUUAUAACUUGUUGACGGAGCUCGUGUGGUUAGCCGACACAUUAAUUUGAGAGUGUAGGUAGAGAAUGAUGUGGAACUCACGAAUCUCAAGCGUAACUUGAGCCGGGGAUCAUGCGAUUUUGUAUGGUCGAUUCACCAUCUGUUCAGUGAUCUGCGGCGACCCCGCCAUUGAAUUUGAGAUGAACAUAAUCCGAGAUUAACAUGCCAUUGAUAGUCAAUGAAUCUGAAAGAUUAAGGAAUUUCAUGAUGAUCGAAAUUGGCAGAGGAUUUUUCCUACCUAAAUAACUUUAUGUUGUGUUUAGGGCAUCCCUUUACACAUCAUGGAGCGAAAUAUGGAUCCUAGCCUUCUAAAAUAAUUUAGGGUGAUUAUUUUCUAAGGAUAAGUAAAACAAACUAUAAUGGAAUUUUAAUGAAUGAUGUCAAAAACCUUAUCCACUAAAAUCUAUUGGUAUAAAACCUUUGAAAGGAUUAGCUAUGACGAUGAUCAGUCUUGUCAAUUUCGUAGUUUGCGAAUAGCUUUCAUAAACGAAAGGAAAGAUCACGCCUUUGUUAAAUCUCUUCCUAGGUUACUUCAAACAUUGCAUUCUAAAUUGUUAGAAAGAGAAAUUAUCAAAUGUAUGUUGUAAAUUGACAUAUUGAAGUAAAAUGGAAUUUCCUUGAGUUAGGAGUUGACUAUGGUUAGUUGACUAGCUAACAUGUACAUAUGAUCAGUUCAUUCUGAUUUUGAUAUGAACAAGUUGGAAUAUCCAUUAAGGAGUUGUGUAGCAUGUUCAGAUUUCCUUUUGGAACCAUCAUGGCCAAUCAUAGAAAUUCAUACUUCAAAACACUCCUGUAUUUUACUAUCAUGAAUAGAAGUAUCAAGAAGAAGAAAGCCAAUUGCUUGCGGUUUAAAAGGCGACUAGUGUGGGUAUACCUAAUCUAGGCCCUAAUACCUAGGACAAAGAAGGCUUAUUCUAAGACAUGUUCUGAUAGCUGCUUGUUUCCAUAACAAGAAAAGGACUAAGAAAUCAAACUUGCCCAAAUGUAUAUUUGAGGUGAAAGGACUGGAACAUGAAGAAGUUAAAUUUGAUCAUGGAUCACGAUCCUGUGCUACUUUCCAUUGUAUCAAAAGAUAGCUAGUUCUUCCAUGUUUGUUAUUCAAACAAAUAUAUGGAUUUAUAAUUCCAUCAAAACAUUACUUCUAAACGUUGAGUGCAUUGCUAAGGAUUAGUGUUGACAUUUUCAAGAAUUUGUAGUCACUAAAAUGAAGUAAGAAGACUAAAACAUGGAGAAGAUAAUUUGAUCAUGAAUGUCAAGCCCUUGCUACAUUCAUAUGAUCAAAAGACAACUCUUUUCAAAAAUGUUUAGUCUAUGGUAUUAUAAUUGAAAUUUUUUAUACUAUAAUUCAUGAGUUAGUUUUGACUUAUUUAAAUGUGGAGCAUUCUAACAUGUUAAAAGAAAGUCAUGAAAUCUAUGAAGCCAGUAUAGUAGCAAUAGUUCAAAAUUAAUUCGAACAUUUGAAUAAGGUGUAUUAUUGUGAAUAUUUGUUGAUGUUAGUUCAAAUAAUGGAUCGUUCAGAUUGACCAUAGUAAGUACUUAUUCAAAUAUAUCCAAAUGUUUGGGUGAAAUUUAUUUGUGGAAUCAUAGUCUUGGAAACAUAAAUGAGAAAUCUAUUACCAAAUAUCCAGUUGGAUCGGAUUUUGGAUAUCAUUUGACCUCGAGUCUUAUGAUAAAUGUAAAUCUUGUUUAUCAAGAUAGAUGAUGAAUGUGGCACUGGGUGAUGUGAGUAUCUUUUGGAAUUAGUUCACACUAAUGGACCGUUCAGAUUAACCACGAUACAUAGUGAAACAAACUUCGUAUGAAUACGAGUCUGGGACCUCUCAGGUGUUCAGAUCGCUUAUAAAAUGAAGUUAAGAACCAAUUGGGCAAUAGGAUGAGACACUCAUAGUGAGAAUCUCAGUCCAAAAUUUAUCGAUCAUCUGAGGAGUUGUGAAAGUGUUUCAUGGUCUAUCUCCACCCAGAACACUGCCACUAGGAAGUGUUAGUUGGAUAGAGAAACAAAUCGUUCCUUGAUUUUGUACUAGAAGAGUCGCACUGUCUUUGCUAACAAUUCGUGGAUUGUACCAUGAAUAGUGUUACAAGCAAUCCUUUGUUCUUGUGCCAACUAACUAGGCUCCUGAAACACUCUAUGAUGAAGUGGGAUUCUAGCCUCACUGCCAUAUAUGUAAGUCUCUGAUUAUGAGGCUUACGCUUGUUGUGAAGCACUCGACAAUGUAGGACUUUGAUUAGAGACGUGUUAUUUUGAUGGAGAGCCCAUCACACAUUUUGGAUAAUUGUUUAAAAAUCCCUCUGAGAACUGUAUGUUGCUCAAAGGGCAGUCUUCCAAGAGAGGGAGCUGAUUUGCAAAAGAGCUAGUGGGAGCCACAUUGCUCUUGAUAAGAUUUGCGAAUCAACCCAUGAGAGGCUUAUAGUUGGACAUAACAUUCAAUCCGGGAUUGAAAGAGCUAUUAAGGAAACUGACCUACCUCCACCACUUCCUUAUAGAUCUGAUAGAUAACGUCAUAUACUCGUUAUAUAAUACUACCUCCGUCCCAAAAUAUAGUCCAUCUUUCCUUUUUAGUUUGUCCCAAAAUAAUAGUCCACUUCUAAAAAUAAAUAACAUUUUUACCAAAAUACCCCUCAUUAUUACUUAACCAAUUAAGAAUUUAAUGGAACAUUAAAUGCAAAGUAAGGACAAAAUUGUCAUUUUAUUAAAUAAAGUUAGUGGUAAUUAAUGCUUCCUUAAUCUGUAUGUUUUUUGUUUGUGGACUAUAAUUUUGGGACGGAGGGAGUAGUUUAUAUUACUAAGGUAUGUGAGUUACUGGUAGAUAGCAAUCAGAGUGUACCAGCUAUCGGAAGCUAUGGUAGACCAUAAAGGCAAAAACAUAGAAGGAGGAAAUGGAAAGCGAGAUUCAAUCCAUGUAUGUUGUAAUUUGGUAGAUCAAGCACCGUGUCCCAAACUUUAAGCAUAUAUAAAGUUGAGAGAGCCUCAUUUGAAGCCUUUUCCACUCUCUCUCUACUCUCUCUAUAACCUCUCUCCUCAAGUCCAAGUUCUUGAUCCAAAAUCACUCAUUUCAAGCUCCAAAUCUUCAAGGUAACUAUCCUAGCUCCUAGUAUGUCAUCUUUAGCUUUCAAAUUCGUGGAUAAUCUAUGAAAUAGGACCAUUGGCAUGAGUUUAAGGUCCUAGAAUAGCCCUAGGCCGUGAACUCACAUAAAAGGGGGUUUUGAGCCUUAAAACCCUCCCAAAUCACUCUUGGAGCUUGGAAAUGACCUAAGGACUUAUUUGCAAGGGAAAUGUCUUAGCUGCGAAGCCAGACACCUAUGACAGCACCAAAUGCCUAGCACAAACCCUGAUCGACCAUAGCGAUUGCCUAGAGGAAGCAGCCACCACUCCUGAGCCGACAGAGAGGAGUGGUGAGAAAAGAAAAUCUUGAAAAAAGAAGAAGAGUCAGCUUUCUCAGGAGUCCUCGAAGAAGCUGCAAACGGUGGCAAUUCGCGCUGCUACUGUCCCUGCUGCUGUCUCUGCCGUCGGAUCCACAGCUCAAACUCCUACCAGUAGGUAUGCUAGUACCCUCCCUCCGUGUAACAAGUGCAACUAUCAUCACCUCACUUCCAGCCCAUGUCGAGAGAUGUUUUGUAACAGUUGUGGCAAAAAGGGUCACACUGCGAAAAAUUGUAAGACACCAACCCAAUCAACCAAUCAAGCUUCCGGAUCGGGAAUCGGUCCGACCUGCUACAGUUGCGGCGAAGUCGGGCAUUUCAAGCGAAACUGCCCCAAGACAGCAACAACUGGCAACACUGGAAGAGUCCUAGCUAUGGGACAAGUUGAGGAAGCCGCCGAUCCCACCGUUGCCACAGGUAUAUUCCUCUUCGACAACCCUUAUGCUUGCAAUCCGUUUCAAUUCUAGUACUGAAAGAUAAUCUGUUAGUUAUUCAUUCAAACAUCUUCAUAAACAUAGUCCUCAACUAGUAACCGAAACGUUUAUCGUCGAGAUAGCUAGCGGUGACAAAGAGAGCAUCAACUAUAAACUUGUUGGAUAAGGUGUCUAAGUCCAUAACUAUUUCGGGCUUGUACUUGACCCGACCCGGCAUGGUCCAUUUGGGUUGCAUGGCACCAUGCAAUUGGAUAGACUAAAUGAGAGAAAUAACACUUGGAGAUUAUUAAUAUAUUAUAAGUUCUAAUAUAUUAAUAAUAUUAUUUGAUUAGUUGAUCAAAGAAUUAAUUUGGAAUUAAUUAAGUGAUCAAAGGAUAACUAAUUAAAUAUAUGGGUUGAUUAUGUAAAUCAUCCAUAUCUUGUAUAGUGGGCUAAGAGGCUCCAUGGAUUAUCAAGUUGGGUUCUACCCAUAGGAUGCUCCAUGGAUGCUCCAUGGGAGUUACAAACCCAUGGGUCAUGGAAAUGAAGAGUCAUGACACAUUAGGGUUUACAUGGUGUAACCCUAGAUGUGCCAACACUAUAUAAGAGUCCCAUUCUCCACAAAAUUGGCUACACAAGUUGAACACUAAGAAACUAGAGGGCUUGGCCGAUUUUGAGAAGUGUGUGUUAUCUCAAGAGUCUUUCCAAGAGCAUUUGGUGUUGUGUGAAGCAUUUGAGGCAUCACACUUGGGGUGCUAGGCUCACAAGGUUUCAAGGAACACAAGCAACAACAAGGUAAGUUAUUCUAUCUAUGAUUCAAGUUAAAAUUGUUCCCCAUGUAUGCUAGAUAGGAAUAUAACCUUGGAAUUCAACUUUGCAUGAUAAUUAGACAAACAUAGAUCCAAGGUUAUUAGGGUUGCAUGUACACUUAGGAAGUGUUAGAAUGCUCAAAACCCAUCAGUGGUAUCAGAGCCUAGGCUUGUUUGUUUGUUAUUUGUGCUUAAAAGUUGAAGAAAGUCGAAAAUUCUGCUGUCUGACUGAUGGACUCGGCGAGUCCAUGGGGAGGACUCGUCGAGUUCAUGUGUAUCUUCAACCUACUCGGCGAGUAGGUUUAUGCACUCGGCGAGUAGGGUCGACAGAGUGCAGAAUUUCGACUUGAGUUGCUGGAAAUGGAUUAGAAUCAUUACCCUAAAAUGUUUUGGUACUUGAAAACUUAUUUUAGAAGGUGUAAUGUCUUUUCUAACUCAUUUACAACAACUAGUUAUCAAAAUUACAAAGAUUAAAUGUGAUUUUGAUUCUUGAAAGUGUUCAUAUUCAUAUUCUUGUUCUUAUGAUGUUUAGAUGAUCAUAGGAAUUAUUUGUAACCUAUGUGGUAGAUUAAUUCAUGAUCAUAAUGUGUUUUAAUGGAGUCCAUAACUUGUCCUCAAGUUAUGGAAAACCAAAAGUCUCUUGGAUUAAAAACCAUUAAAAGAACACAAGAGUUAGGAAAAAUGAAAAGUCCUCAUUUUAUUACUCUAUUAAACUCAUAAGUUACAAGAAAUGAAAAGUUUUGAAAGUUUACAAAACUUGCCCUCAAGUUUUGGAACAAGUAAAGUUAAGUUAAAACUUUAGUUCCAACCCCUAGAAUUUUAAAAGUUAAAAUUCAACCCUUAUACUUAUAUUAUUAUGAUUUAAUAAUUAUAUAUAUAUGUAUAAGAACAAAGUCGUCUUACCGCUAGUACGCCUCAUUCACGAAGCCGGUCUAUAAGGUGGGUAUAAGGUUGUUGCCUAUAAAAUGGUGACUUAAUGGGUGUCCACUCUCACCCACCGCUUGCUUGAUCGGUGGAGGGUCGUUAGCCGAACGGGUAAGACAAGGACUUAUUAAUUCUCAUUCAAAGUAUGAUGAAUAUUAUAAAGUAACUAAAUGUUUUAUUAAAUUCCCAAUCUUAGUUACUUUAGGAAAAAUGUGAAUAAGGUGCUAUUCCAUGAAAUUACACUUUACACUUUGAUUAAGUCGUUGGUGGAGCGUGUGUGGUUAACCGGCACACUAACUUGGACUUAACAAGGUAGGUAAAGGGUGACUUAGGGUUUAUUAUAGUAUCGAUGGAGCGUGUGUGGUUAACCGGCACAUCGAUUGAGUGAUAAACUUUAAGGGUACCAAGUGAUUUGCAUGGUUACUUCACACCUCGUUUUGUGAUCCUCGGUAUCCCAGUCACAAAACUUGGAGGGCACACUCGAGAUUGAAACAUGCCUUUGAAAAGUUCAUUGAAUCUCAAAGAAUCUAGGAAUUUCUAAGAACCAUUCAAAAACCUAAUACUAAAAUAUUGCGGUUUUCGUGGUGGAAAUUGGUGAAUCGUCAUUCACCUACCUUUCAAAUAUGAUAUAGCUUAGAUUACGGCAUACCUCUUCUAAGUUAUAUUAUAUUGUGAUUGGAUCCUAGCCUUAAUAUUACAUUUGGGUGUUUUAUUAAGGACUCUCUUAUAUCUAAACUAAUCUUGUCCUCUUUCCUUCAGAUGUCUUUCAACAAUGCUUCUGGCUCUAAUCCUAAUGGCUCCUUUACCCUUAUGAACUUGUGUGGGAAAGUCACCUUUGAUGGAUCCAACUUCAAUGAGUGGAUCAGAAACAUCAGGAUGAUUACCCGCUACGAGGACAAAGAAUAUGUCCUUGACAAGGAGCUUAAGGAGAUUGAUGAGUCCACUGCAACUCCUCAGGAGAUCGCUGAAUUUCGGGCACAUGAAAGGGAUGCUACGAAAGUGGCUUGCAUCAUGAUGGCCACGAUGACAGCGGAACUCCAAAAGUCUUAUGAGGAUUUCUACCCUUAUGACAUGCACCAAGAUUUGAUGGAAAGAUACCAUCAAAGUGCAAGACAAGAGAGGUAUGAAAUCAUCUGCUCCAUGAUAACAACCAUGAUGAAGGACGGGGAAUCCGUCACGAGCCACAUGCAGAAAAUGCAAAGGUAUGUGGAUCGUUUGCUGAAGCUUAAUGUGAACUUCCCGGAGGAUCUUGCAAUAGAUAUUAUUUUGCAUUCCUUACCAUCGUGCUAUGAUCAAUUCCGCAUGACAUAUCACAUGAACAAGGAAGAAGUCACCCUCAGCAAACUUCAGGGACUUCUCAAGACCGCAGAAACAGGUCUUAAGGGGAAGUCGGUUGCUAUCACUCCUACUCAAAACUCUACUCCGGUUUUGGCAAUCGGGAAAAGUCGAGGGAGGAAGAGAAAGAGCUCUUCUAAGGGUACCAAGGCUCGGACCCUUGAUGGCUCUUCUUCAAGUGGAACCAAGAAAGGUUUCGUUACUCCUUCUUCUGACCCAAAAGAGGCUGAAUGCUUCUAUUGCCAUGAAAAAGCUCAUUGGAAGCGGAACUGCCCAAAAUACCAGCAAGAUGUGAAGGAUGGGAAAGUUAAACCCAACCAUGCAGGUAUUUACACUAUCAUUUCUAAUAACUCACCCCAUUCUAAUUCUUGGGUCCUUGAUACCGGGUGUGGUAUUCACAUUUGUUGUGACUUGCAGGGACUAAGAAGAAGUGAGGAUGUGGAGCAAGGAAGGAUAAACUUGAUCAUGGGGAAUAGGAAAGCUAUACCUGUUACCAAGAUUGGAGUUUAUACUUUAUCGCUAAGUAGUGGGUUUAGUUUAGAUUUGAAUAAGUGUUGUUAUUCGCCAGGAAUGGCAAGAAAUAUUAUUUCCUUUCAUGCUUUGUACAAACAAGGGUUUACCUUUUCAUUUAAUAAUGAAGUUGGUUCUAUAGAUGUUUUCUAUAAUAAUGUCUUUUAUUUUAAAGCAUUACCUUGUGAUGGUGUGUAUGAAGCUGUAUCUGUUGUAGAUAACUUGGGAAAUAAUGUUUUGUGUAUUGAUUCUACUAAUAAUAACUUGGAUAAAGCAUCUUUAUGGCAUUGUCGUCUUGGACAUAUAAGCAAGAAACGCAUAGGCCAACUCCAAAAGGAUGGAGUCUUGGAGUCGUUUGACCUAAAGUCAGAUGAUAGUUGCGAAUCAUGCUUACUUGGAAAAAUGACAAAGUCACCCUUCACAGGUUCGUGUGAGAGGGGUGAAGGUUUGUUGGACCUUAUACACACGGAUGUGUGUGGACCAUUCAAACAUGCCACAAGGGAUGCUAAUCGUUAUUAUUUGACUUUUACUGAUGAUUAUAGUAGAUAUGGAUAUGUCUACUUGAUCAAGCAUAAGUCAGAGACUUUCGAGAGGUUUAAGGAAUUUAAACAGGAAGUCGAGAAUCAAUUGGGCAGGAACAUUAAGAUGCUUCGAUCCGAUCGUGGUGGUGAGUAUCUUAGUUCAGAGUUCCUCGACUAUCUAAGGGAAUGUGGGAUAGUCUCACAAUUGACACCUCCCAGGACACCACAGUUGAAUGGUGUGGCUGAGAGGCGUAAUCGAACCUUGUUAGAUAUGGUUCGUUCCAUGAUGAGUCGAGCUACGCUACCAAUCUCAUUCUGGGGGUAUGCCUUAGAGACUGCCGCCCAUAUUCUUAAUCUAGUCCCUACAAAGAAAGUUGCCAAAACUCCUCACGAGAUGUGGACUGGUAAAGUACCUAAACUAGACCACAUCAAGAUUUGGGGUUGCGAGGCUUUCGUGAGACGCGAGACUCAUGAUAAGCUCGAACCUCGAAGCGAGAGGUGUAUUUUCAUCGGUUACCCACAGCGAUCCUUUGGUUACCUCUUCUACAGACCUAGUGACAAUGUGGUCUUUGUAGCAAGAAGAGGAGUCUUUCGAGAAAGAGAGUUUAUAAGCCAAGGAGACAGUGGGAGGCAAAUUGAUCUUGAAGAAAUUCAAGAAUCAAGCGGUGAAGGAACUUCAAACUCUAGCCCUCAACUUGAGGAGGAAACUCCUGUUGAGCCAAUUGACAAAUCUGUACCUCUGAGACGUUCCACGAGAGUUAGGAGUGCACCUGAGCAUUACUAUGGAUUCCAUAUUACUGCAGAAGGUGAGACACUUAUUAGUGAUGAGACACUAGUAAGUCAAGAUGACCCUAACAGCUACGAGGAAGCCAUGGCAGGCCCCGAGUCUGCUAAAUGGAAAGAGGCUAUGGAUAGCGAGAUACAAUCCAUGUAUGACAAUCAAGUUUGGAACUUGGUUGAAAAUGUACCAGGUCGUAAGACAGUAGGGUGCAAAUGGGUCUUCAAGAAGAAGACCGACAUGGAUGGUAAAGUACACACUUAUAAGGCUAGACUGGUUGCAAAGGGCUUCUCUCAAAUUCCUGGAGUGGAUUAUGAUGAGACCUUUUCUCCGGUAGCCAAGAUUAAGUCUAUUCGGGUUCUGUUAGCCAUAGCUGCAUUUCAUGACUAUGAAAUAUGGCAGAUGGAUGUCAAAACCGCUUUCCUUAAUGGAAAGUUGGCUGAAGAUGUUUACAUGAGUCAGCCAGAGGGUUUUGUCAGCAACGAGUACCCUAAUAGAGUGUGUAAGCUUGAGAAAUCCAUUUAUGGAUUGAAGCAAGCACCUCGCAGAUGGAAUCUUUGCUUUGAUGAAAAGGUCAAGGAAUUUGGCUUUUCUAGGAGUGAAGAUGAAUCUUGUGUGUAUGUCAAGGCUAGUGGGAGUAUAGUUAGCUUUUUGGUAUUGUAUGUGGAUGACAUACUACUCAUAGGAAACGACAUUCCAACCCUGCAGGAAGUAAAGUCCUGGCUUGGGAAGUGUUUCGCUAUGAAGGACCUUGGUGAAGCUGCCUAUAUUCUAGGGAUAAGAAUCUUGAGAGAUCGGAGUAAAAGACUAAUUGGACUUAGUCAGAGUACCUACUUGGAUAAGGUGCUGAAGAGAUUCAGCAUGCAGGAUUCCAAGAAAGGAGAGUUACCCAUCCAGAGUAACACCAGAUUGAGUAAGACACAAAGCCCUAGCACUGAGGCUGAGAUAGCAGAAAUGAGUCGAACACCUUACGCUUCGGCUGUAGGAUCGAUCAUGUAUGCUAUGACGUGUACUCGACCCGAUGUAGCUUUUGCCUUGAGCAUGGUUAGCAGGUAUCAGGCGAACCCUGGCAAGGCACACUGGACUGCGGUAAAGAAUAUCCUCAAGUACCUACGGAGGACUAAGGACUGGGUCCUUACCCUCGGUGGGAGUGAUGACUUGAGAGUUGUAGGGUAUAGUGAUGCUAGCUUCCAGACUGAUAGGGAUAAUUUCCGCUCUCAGUCGGGCUGGGUCUUUACCCUAAACGGAGGAGCAAUUUCUUGGAAGAGUUCCAAGCAAGAGACAGUGGCAGAUUCUACUUGUGAAUCAGAGUAUAUUGCAGCUAGUGAAGCAGCAAAGGAGGCGAUAUGGCUGAAGAACUUCAUUGGAGACCUUGGAGUUGUACCAGCUAUUAAAGAGCCAAUGGAAAUUUUCUGUGAUAGUGAAAGUGCUGUUGCCUUAGCCAAGGAACCAAGGGAUCAUGGGAGAUCCAGACACAUCGACAGAAAAUACCAUUUCAUUAGACAUCGGAUCGAAGAAGGACUCCUCGUGGCAAAGAGGGUAUCAUCGGAUGAGAACCCAGCAGAUCCCCUCACGAAGGGACUGAGUAGGGUUAAGCAUCUCCAGCAUGCUCGGAGCAUAGGGCUGAAGGAUGAUAUAAGUUUUAGUAGUUAGAUAACCCAGAAAUUUGUAAAGUGUAAUUGACAUUUGAUGAUGAAUAAAAGGUGUUUUAUUUAUGAGUAAAGUGUUGCUAUCUCUUGUCGAUCGUUUACUAUAUUUCUUUUGCAUGUUUUGACUUCCAGAAUAAUUUUGUUUGGUAUAACAUAUUAUUCAAACCUCCACAGUCGGUCAUAUGUCGGAAGUAGGUAUGAAUCAAGACUGUCAUGAUGGGUUGUAGAGGUCUAAGGUGUUGGACAAGGCUACAACAAUCAUGAGUGCUCAUAAGUUCUGAGCAUUGGACUCAACCCACGCUCACUGGAAUCACUUCAUGGAAUUCUAUCUCGAGUGAUCGUGAGACGGUAAUAUCAUAUAAGUCUUCAAACCUAGAGAUAUGAUUUGUUACUUACAAGUUGGUUAUGCAUUGACUGUACGAAACCGCAUUGGUAACUCGAUGUUAUAAAACGUACUUUUGUGUGUAAUUCAAUGAGUGGUAGAACAAACAUAUGAGUCGAAGUUUAUCUGUUCCUUCUUGGAUUAGAAGCUGAUAUCUGGGCCCCUCGAUGAUUUUGUUUUGACCCAUGUACCGGGCCCGGUCAGAACUAAGUUGAUGUGUUCAAUUAAGUUCUAUGUCAAACAAAUCGGAAAUCGGGAAACAAAUGCUGGACAAUAAGCAAGACAAUGUUCCAUGUAUUUGUCCGGCUGAUAUCUAGAACGGAGGAUUAUAUGAUCACUUAUCUUAAAUGGCGUACCAUCAUCUUCUCAGUUCCGAGAGACCUUGAAAGAGCUACGAUUGCCGGUCGGUUCCUGAAGUACUAGAGAUAUAGUUAUUAGACUUAUCCAAGUGGGAGACUGUUGGAUAAGGUGUCUAAGUCCAUAACUAUUUCGGGCUUGUACUUGACCCGACCCGGCAUGGUCCAUUUGGGUUGCAUGGCACCAUGCAAUUGGAUAGACUAAAUGAGAGAAAUAACACUUGGAGAUUAUUAAUAUAUUAUAAGUUCUAAUAUAUUAAUAAUAUUAUUUGAUUAGUUGAUCAAAGAAUUAAUUUGGAAUUAAUUAAGUGAUCAAAGGAUAACUAAUUAAAUAUAUGGGUUGAUUAUGUAAAUCAUCCAUAUCUUGUAUAGUGGGCUAAGAGGCUCCAUGGAUUAUCAAGUUGGGUUCUACCCAUAGGAUGCUCCAUGGAUGCUCCAUGGGAGUUACAAACCCAUGGGUCAUGGAAAUGAAGAGUCAUGACACAUUAGGGUUUACAUGGUGUAACCCUAGAUGUGUCAACACUAUAUAAGAAGCAUAUUCUCCACCAAAAAUCGGCACUACUAAGGAACAAGAGGGCUUGGCCGAUUUUGAGAAGUGUGUGUUAUCUCAAGAGUCUUUCCAAGAGCAUUUGGUGUUGUGUGAAGCAUUUGAGGCAUCACACUUGGGGUGCUAGGCUCACAAGGUUUCAAGGAACACAAGCAACAACAAGGUAAGUUAUUCUAUCUAUGAUUCAAGUUAAAAUUGUUCCCCAUGUAUGCUAGAUAGGAAUAUAACCUUGGAAUUCAACUUUGCAUGAUAAUUAGACAAACAUAGAUCCAAGGUUAUUAGGGUUGCAUGUACACUUAGGAAGUGUUAGAAUGCUCAAAACCCAUCAAAACUUAGUUUCAACCUUCGCGUCGUUUCGUACAUUAAAGCUCAAAAGGCUUCUCCGAAGGGGGUGCGCUAAAUUCCUAGUCUAUGUGACCAUAGAGAAACAUGAAGUUGCAUCCCCGAAGUCAACAAUUUUCCUGAUGUCUUUCCGAAGAGCUCCCGGAAAUUCCUCCCGAACGCCAAUUAGAAUUUCGCAUCAACUAAUUUCAUAGAGCCAGCUACUUCUCACAGAUAGAACUUAGGUCAAGGGACCAUCAGCUACGAGCUCAAUGGAAUGAUGUUUCCACAACAGCAUUCAGGACUCGAUAUAGUCACUACGAAGAUGUAGUGAUGCCCUUCGGUCGGACCAUUUUAUUUGGUCAUGUAGUAAUCAAAGAAGGCAUGUUACAUUAUGAAACGCGUAUCCUGAAGUACAUAGAACUAUUCGAAAUCCUCGUGAGGAUCGAUCUCGUAAGCUUGCAAACUUCGACUACCCUCAGAACUUAGCAGCAUCCAUCCAAUAUUCCACGUCUCUGUCCUUAAGAAGUGCCUACCCGAUGAAACCCUAGUAAUUCCUUUGAUGAGACCGAAAUCAACGAAAGUCUCAACCCCAUGGUAAAACCAAUUGAAAUCAUAGAUCGAGAGAUUUAACGUAUGAAACAAGCCAUAUCCCGUUAAGUUAAAGGUUCCCUGGAAUGUCAUGCGAGGAUCCGAAUUCACUUGGGAGCGUGAUGAUCCGAUGAAACAGAAGUGUCCGUAUUCUCUUUCCAAAUGCGCGAGUUGCAUCUAAAGUUUGAAUUUCGGGACGAAAUUCCCUCUAGCGGGGGGAUAAUGUGACAACCAGAAGUUUGCUCCAUCGCCGUAACCCGUUUCCGUCCUUAAAAUUCAUCUUUUUCGAAUUGUUUCCGUUUAAGCUUUUCAAUUAAGGCAUUAUUUUUGAGACUUCUAUUAUGACUUAAUUCAUAUCGAAACACGUUAGAAACUCAUGAAAACGCCCCAAAUUAUUAUUUGGAAAAAUUUUAGUUUUAUUCCGUCGAGCUAUAAAACAAUUAAAUCGGGUACAACCAAAAGCCUUACAUAACAUCAGUAUCGGGUAAAAUUCCACCGUGUCCCAAACUUUAAGCAUAUAUAAAGUUGAGAGAGCCUCAUUUAAAGCCUUUUCCACUCUCUCUCUACUCUCUCUAUAACCUCUCUCCUCAAGUCCAAGUUCUUGAUCCAAAAUCACUCAUUUCAAGCUCCAAAUCUUCAAGGUAACUAUCCUAGCUCCUAGUAUGUCAUCUCUAGCUUUCAAAUUCGUGGAUAAUCUAUGAAAUAGGACCAUUGGCAUGAGUUUAAGGUCCUAGAAUAGCCCUAGGCCGUGAACUCACAUAAAAGGGGGUUUUGAGCCUUAAAACCCUCCCAAAUCACUCUUGGAGCUUGGAAAUGACCUAAGGACUUAUUUGCAUGGACGUAGAACACCUUGGAAUCUUCACAUAGGGUGUAAACAUGAGUUUACGGCCCAAGCACAUUCUUGGACCGUAAACAUCUAUUCAUGGGGAGUAAACUCAAUUUAAAGUGUUAAGAUUAUACUUAAACACACCAUAAGCCUUGGAAUAAAGUCUAGAAGCAACCACAAUCAAGGUAAGGACCUUAAACAUGCUAAAACUACCUACAUAGGAGCUUACGGCCGUAAACGCCACAUGAAUAUCUUCUUAGGCCGUAAACUCCUAAAACAUAGUCAAAUGAUGCCUUAAAUUCAUUCCAUGGCUUGUAGAUUUAGCUAGAAACACUUGUAAUGACCUAGGACCACCAAAACAUCAAAGAAGGUGUGUGGAGGAGCUUACGGCCGUAAACUCUUAGUUUACUUCCAUAAACUCCAUUAGAUGGUCCAUAUGUUGGUUUAAUCCAUUCCUAUACCCUAGAUUUGAUCCUAGCUAAUUUUCCCAAAUGAUAUAAGGCAUUUUAGCACCCUAGACACCCCACCAUGAGUUUACGGCCGUAAACUAAUGUGGAGUGGGUCAUUAGGGCCGUAAACCCUCUUAUGAGUUCACUCAUGAAGAGUAAACUCCAUAUCCAAGCCAUAUAUGUCCUUAGAUGUCACCCGGAUCACUCCAAACACUUAUUUUGAAGUGUUUUCGCGUCUUGCAGUGUAUAAUCUUAUCUAAUUAUUGGUUCAAAGUAUAAUUAGAUACAAUUGUGUAUCAUUUCAUAUUACAUAGGAACCUCGCGCGUUUUCAAGCCUUGAGCUGACGUUUAUCAUCCAAACUGACACAUUUCGCGAUUGGUGAGUUCAUACCCCUACCCUUUUUCAAUGUUUUUCAAUGUUUUCAUGGGGGAAUACAAGCAAAAGUACAAGGAAAUCUUGUGCUCAAACUUAUGAUUUCAUUUGAUCUAUUUCAUAUUUCGUAUGCUUUUAACACGGAAAACUGUAUUAACCAACCGUUCAACUUGCAUAGUAAACCGUCAAGUUAUUUGUGAAACUCGUUUUAAAAUGUUAUAUUUUAUAUUUCACAAAUAAAUUUCCAUAUCAUUAUUGUUCAAAGCAUGAAUCUUAAAACUUUAAAAAUGUUCUUGAUAUAACUCCCUUUAGAUACGAAAGUGUAGGAAUAAUAACAUUAAACUUAGAACUUUACCACUCCCCCUAGAUACAAGAGUGCAGGAAUAAUAACAUUAAACUUAGAACUUUACCACUCCUCGUAGAUACAAGAGUGCAGGAAUAAAAACAUUAAGACUUAGAACUUAACCAUUCCCCGUAGAUACGAGAGUGAAGGAAUAAUAACAUUAAACGUAAAAUCUUACCACUCCCCCUAUUUACAAGAGUGGUGGAAUAGUAACAUUAAACAUAGAACUUUAGACAAGUCCUUGAUAAUACUCCCCCUAUAUACGAGAGUGAAGGACUAAUUAAUCAGAAUUUCCCGUUUUAUUGUCUUUUAGUUCAUUAAUCUUAAUAUUGGAGACACGUCCUUGUAACACUCCCCCUAUUUACGAGAGUGUAGGACUACCCCUGUAACUAGAAUCUCUUGGAGGGAGAACGUGACUUGAGUGUAUAGAUCUAUACGGGAUUGACAACCCCGCACCUGGCUGCUUGCUACAGUGGAACCGAAAGGUUCAAGGGUGACAAAAGUCAUAAAAAGAUAUUGGCCCUGAUUCAAGCUUUAUCCGGUCUAUAGUAUGGUUACGGAACUCGCAAUUUAGAUUAUGAAUACUUUUAAACUUACCUAUUAGAUUUAUAUAUACGUGUUAAAACUAAUGUACUUUACUAGGAUAAACAGGUUUUCAGGAAACAUCACACAAACACAUAAAGUAUGGUAGACACUUGUACAUUACUUUCAGAAACCGAUAACAAACUACACACUUUUAGGAAAAUAAGGGUUUUUCCUGGGAUAACUGAACUGUACUUAACUAGACCGUGUAACUAAUGGAUAACUAAACUUUACUUUUAGGAAAAUAAGGGUUUUUCCUAGGUUAACAAACUGUACAUAACCAGAUCGUAUAACAAAUGGAUAACUAAACUAUACUUAUAAGAAAAUAUGGGAUUUUCUUGGAUAACAAACUUUUUCGAAAAACCAAAGGAAACUUGUAGAUUUUCAGAAAACAAACCUCUUAUGAACUCACCAGCUUUAUGCUGAUUUUCAAACUGCUUGUAUUCUCAGGUCCACAUUAGACAGGUACCCAAUGAUCCUUUUGGCGAAGACGGAGGGUAGAAGUCGCGUCUUUACUUUUGUGCAUAUGAUAUAUAUGUAUGACACUUGUAACACUUUGAUUUCAAACAAAUGUAAUAACUCUAUGUAAUGUAUUGUUUCGUGUUUACUAUGCUUACUAUGUACAUUGGUUGCGAUAUUCAUGACGUCCUCCGCCCCGGAACAUUUCCGCCUUCGGUUUCGGGGUGUGACAGAUUGGUAUUAGAGCCCUUGUUUAUAGUGAACUAGUAUACCAAACCUUACAUGGUAUAAGUCUAUAAACACUAAGGGGCCUAUGUGCUCUCAACUAAAAGUAUACCUUAAAAUAUAAGUAUUUUCAAAAGUAUACAACUAUACCUAACCGUCGAAAUCUGUAAUUACAAGUAGAACAAAACAUAAGUAAAUGGGUGUUGUACGCUGCAGUUAAACCUAGGCAGUUAUGUAGUCGUGUCUAGGAUCAGUAUAGUCUAGCCAACUAUAUUCAUUCGAGACACGGCCAACAUGUGCUUGGGAAUGACUGUGGUGCGCGCCAUGCCUAAAACUUACCCAAAUACCCAAACAACGAGCCGUCGUUGCAGCGUGACAUGAAAUUCUAUGGGAGUAUUUAUCAAGCCAAAUCCGUUAUAGAAAUCCUCAUUCCAGCGUUGCUCCUCAAUCUUUCCUUUAGCGAUAGUUGAUCUGCUUUGAUAACUCUUUCCUGCAUUAUCGCUUAAUAGAAUGAUAUAUCUGUCUUAAUGAGAUAUCCCAUGUUCCAUAUCUCUUGAUUCAAUUCAGAGGACUUAUGAUCCUCUCUUUCCUGAUCUUUUUAGAUCAAGAUGCCUCCAACAAAGAGACCCAGCUCAAACAACAACAACCCUUCACCACCAUCUCCUUCCUAAUUUGAUCCCGUAAGGUUCCAGACAGCUGUUACUGCCACAGUGGCAGCUGCCAUGUCUCAAAUGAACCCCAGUGGUUCAGAAGGUGGUCCUUAGCCCCAAAACCAAGAAGAUAGCCAGGGACACCGGAAGGAGUGUUCCUAUAAGGACUUUAUGAACGCGAAACCGAUAUCCUUCGAUGGCACUGGAGGUGUCAUUUCCCUAACCCGAUGGUUCGAGAAAAUCGAAUCUAUUUUCGAAAUUUGUGCCUGCUCUGAAUUGGACAAGGUGAAGUUCGCUGCCUGGAUGUUCACUGAUAAAGCCCUGACUUGGUGGAACGGCCGAGUGAAAUCCCUAACCCUACCUAUAGCCAAUGCCAUGGGUAGAGAGGCCAUGAAGGAACUUCUGCUUGCAGAGUACCGCCCUCGGGGCGAAAUGCAAAAGCUAGAACAUGAACUAUGGAGCCUGAAGAUGAAGGGUUCCGAUAUCGCCGCUUACACUUCAAGAUUCGAUGACUUGGCGCUACUCUGUCCGAGAAUUGUUACCCCGAAGAGUAAAAAGAUUGAGAGGUUCAUCUGGGGGCUGACCCAGCCAACCAAGGGAAAUGUCUUAGCUGCGAAGCCAGACACCUAUGACAGCGCCAAAUGCCUAGCGCAAACCCUGAUCGACCAUAGCGAUUGCCUAGAGGAAGCAGCCACCACUCCUGAGCCGACAGAGAGGAGUGGUGAGAAAAGAAAAUCUUGAAAAAAGAAGAAGAGUCAGCUUUCUCAGGAGUCCUCGAAGAAGCAGCAAACGGUGGCAAUUUGCGCUGCUACUGUCUCUGCCGUCGGAUCCACAGCUCAAACUCCUACCAGUAGGUAUGCUGGUACCCUCCCUCCGUGUAACAAGUGCAACUAUCAUCACCUCACUUCCAGCCCAUGUCGAGAGAUGUUUUGUAACAGUUGUGGUAAAAAGGGUCACACUGCAAAAAAUUGUAAGACACCAACCCAAUCAACCAAUCAAGCUUCCGGAUCGGGAAUCAGUCCGGCCUGCUACGGUUGCAGCGAAGUCGGGCAUUUCAAGUGAAACUGCCCCAAGACAGCAACAACUGGCAACACUGGAAGAGUCCUAGCUAUGGGACAAGUUGAGGCAGCCACCGAUCCCACCGUUGCCACAGGUAUAUUCCUCUUCGACAACCCUUAUGCUUGCAAUCCAUUUCAAUUCUAGUAUUGAAAGAUAAUCUGUUAGUUAUUCAUUCAAACAUCUUCAUAAACAUAGUCCUCAACUAGUAACUGAAACGUUUACCGUCGAGAUAGCUAGCGGUGAGAAAGAGAGCAUCAGCGAUAAACUUAGUUUCAACCUUCGCGUCGUUUCAUACAUCAAAGCUCAAAAGGCUUCUCCGAAGGGGGUGCGAUAAAUUCCUAGUCUAUGUGACCAUAUAGAAACAGGAAGUUGCAUCCCCGAAGUCAACAAUUUUCCUGAUGUCUUUCCGAAGAGCUCCCGGAAAUUCCUCCCGAACGCCAAUUAGAAUUUCGCAUCAACCAAUUUCAGAGAGCCAGCUACUUCUCACAGAUAGAACUUAGGUCAAGGGACCAUCAGCUACGAGCUCAAUGGAAUGAUGUUUCCACAACAGCAUUCAGGACACGAUAUAGUCAAUACGAAGAUGUAGUGAUGCCCUUCGGUCUGACCAUUUUCUUUGGUCAUGUAGUAAUCAAAGAAGGCAUGUUACAUUAUGAAAUGCGUAUCCCGAAGUACAUAGAACUUUUCGAUAUCCUCGUGAGGAUCGAUCCCGUAAGCUUGCAAACUCCGACUACCCUCAGAACUUAGCAGCAUCCAUCCAGUAUUCCACGUCUCUGUCCUUAAGAAUUGCCUACCCGAUGAAAUCCUAGUAAUUCCUUUGAUGAGACCGAAAUCAACGAACGUCUCAACCCCACGGUAAAACCAAUUGAAAUCAUAGAUCGAGAGAUUUAACGUAUGAAACAAGCCAUAUCCCGUUAAUUUAAAGGUUCCCUGGAAUGUCAUGCGAGGAUCCGAAUUCACUUGGGAACGUAAUGAUCCGAUGAAACAGAAGUGUCCGUAUUCUCUUUCCAAAUCCGCGAGUCGCAUCUAAAUUUUGAAUUUCGGGACGAAAUUCCCUCUAACGGGGGGAUAAUGUGACAACCCGAAGUUUGCUCCAUCGCCGUAACCCGUUUUCGUCCUUAAAAUUCAUCUUUUUUGAAUUGUUUCCGUUUAAGCUUUUAAAUUAAGGCAUUAUUUUUGAGACUUCUAUUAUUACUUAAUUAGUAUCGAAACACGUUAGAAACUCAUGAAAACGCCCCAAAUUAUUAUUUGGAAAAAUUUUAGUUUUAUUCCGUCGAGCUAUAAAACAAUUAAAUCGGGUACAACCAAAAGCCUCACAUAACAUCAGUAUAGGGUAGAAUUCCACCAUGUCCCAAACUUUAAGCAUAUAUAAAGUUGAGAGAGCCUCAUUUGAAUCCUUUUCCACUCUCUCUCUACUCUCUCUAUAACCUCUUUCCUCAAGUCCAAGUUGUUGAUCCAAAAUCACUCAUUUCAAGCUCCAAAUCUUCAAGGUGACUAUCCUAGCUCCUAGUAUGUCAUCUUUAGCUUUCAAAUUCGUGGAUAAUCUAUGAAAUAGGACCAUUGGCAUGAGUUUAAGGUCCUAGAAUAGCCCUAGGCCGUGAACUCACAUAAAAGGGGGUUUUGAGCCUUAAAACCCUCCAAAAUCACUCUUGGAGCUUGGAAAUGACCUAAGGACUUAUUUGCAUGGACUUAGAACACCUUGAAAUCUUCACUUAGGGUGUAAACAUGAGUUUAUGGCCCAAGCACAUGCUUGGACCGUAAACACCUAUUCAUGGGGAGUAAACUCAAUUUAAUGUGUUAAGAUGCCACUUAAACACACCAUAAGCCUUGGAAUAAUGUCUAGAAGCAACCACAAUCAAGGUAAGGACCUUAUGUUGGGUUUUGAGCAUUCUAACACUUCCUAAGUGUACAUGCAACCCUAAAUACCUUGGAUCUAUGUUUUCUCUAUUAUACAUGCAAAUAAGAACUUCCAAGGUAUUAUCCUAAUCUAGCAUACAAAACAAUGACUAUAACAAGAUAGAAUACAUACCUCUUUGAUGUAGAAAGUCUUCAUGAAGCUUGAGUGCCUAGUGCCCCAAGUGUGACACCUCAAAUGGAAUCACAAUCAUCAAAACACUUGGAAUGACUUGAGAGAAUUCUACACUCUUCAAAAUCGGCUAGCCCUUUCUUCACUAUCACUAGUGGCCGAUUUUUCCUCAAUAAUAAGAUGCUUAUAUAGUUACACAAUUAGGGUAAACUCUUAAUUGUCAUGGCUUUCCAUUUCCUUGGAUCCAUGGGUACAAAUACACCAUGGAGCAUCCAUGGACCAUCCUAUGGGUUUUAGCCCAACUUGAUUAUCCAUGGAGCAUUAGCCCACUAUACAAGUAUGGAUGAUUUACACAAUCAACCCAUAUAUUUAAUUAGUCUUCUUUUGAUCACUUAAUUAAUCCUAGAUUAAUUCUUGAUCAAUACUAAUUAAAUAAUCUUAUUAUUCUUAUUAUUAAUAUACUAGAACUUAUAAUAUAUUAAUAACCAUAAGUGUCUUAUUUCUCUCAUUAUAGUCUAUCCAAGUGCAUGAUGGUAUGCAACCCAAAUGGACCAUGCCGGGUCGGGUCAAGUCUUACCAAUUAUAGUUAUGGACUUAGACAUUAAUCCAACAGUCUCCCACUUGGAUAAGUCUAAAACUAUUAUUGCGUAUGACUUCAGGAACCAACUGGCAAUCGUAGCUCUCAAAAGCUUCUGUCGAACUCUGACCUUGUAGAUGAACUCUGACCUUUGUCAAUGACUUGUCCAUUAGAUAAGGGAUCAUAUAUUCCUCCAUUCUAGAUAUCAUAUGGACUGAGACAUGGAUUAUAAUCAUUCUCUCUGUCCAUUUGUUGUUUCCCGAUUUCCGAUUUAUGACGACUGACUAAUUGAACAAAUCAAAUCAGUCCUGGCCCGGCCGAGCACUUCCAUUUGUCAUCAUCAAAUCAUCGAGGGGCCCACAGAUAUCGCUUUUAUCCCGAAGGUAAAAGGAAUGGAUAAACUUCGACUCAUAUGGCUUGUUCUACUACUUGUUGAAUCAUACACAAAGGCACGUUUUAUAGCACCGAGUUACCAAAUGCGUUUUCGUGCAAUCAAUGUACUAUCAACUCAUAGUAACAACUCAUAUCUCUAGGUUUGAAGAAUAUAAGAUAUUAUCGUCUCAUGAUCACUCGUGAUAAAAUCCAUGAAGUGAUUCCAAUGAGCGCGGGUUGAAUCCAAUACUCAGAACUUAUGAGCACUCAUGAGUGUUGUAGCCCUUUGUCCAACACCUUAGACCUCUACAAGCCAACCCAUGACAGUCUUAAUUCAUAUCUACUUCCAACAUAUGACCGACUGUGGAUGGUUUGAAUAACUUAGUCAUUCCGGAAGAAUAACCCAGUUUAUUCGGGAAGUCAAAACAUGCAAAAUGAAACACAAUAAUAAUUGAAUCCAAUAUGGUAUCAACCCUUUGAACAUAAAUAAAACACCUUUUAUUUAUCACCAUAUGAUUACACAUUAUUCAUUGUAUACUGUUUCAGCUAUCAACUUUAUUCUUGAAUUUAAAACAAUAGUUGUCCCAUGCUCCAAGCAUGUACACUAUGUUUUCUUAAACACUAGUCAUGCCACACACCAAGUAUGCAUACUAUGUUUGUCUAUGAUCUUUACUUUGUGAACUAGAUCAAUUGAACAUAACUUCAAUGAUUCUCUUUUCACACUCCCAAAUCCUUACUGCAAAUGCAAGAAUUCCAAAUUCAUGCCAUUUACUGAAAUCUGUUAGAUUCUAAACUUAUAUGCAUUGAUCCUCUUGUAAUGAUUAUGCACAAAGUCACAAAGACUUGGCAACAAUCAUUACAGAGUAUUCCAAAGGAGAUCAACUCCUUGGAAAUAUCCUUCUUGCAUUAAGUUUCCUUAAUCUUACACAGAUUGAAAAUUCUAACUUUGAAACAUUUCCAGAUUCCAUUUUGACUAUCACUUCUGAACAAGAGUUGCCUCCUUACAGAUUAUGUCAAUAUGGUCCUUCCAGAAUUAUCACUAUACUUCCAAUUGUCCUUGAGUAACCAAUCUUUGGUAAACCUUAGAUUGUCCUCGACAAUUGUUUAAUCCUUUUAGUCAUAUCCAGUUCUAAACCUUUUCCCUUCUUAAUGCCCCAGGCAUUUGGAAAAUUUUAGAACGGAUGAAUAUAGCACAUGUAAUCGAUCCUAUAUCCGAAGCAUAUGGGACACGAUUCAUGAUGUCUUACAUAAAGACUAAACCAGUCUUUUGCUAUAAUAUUUCCAUUUCAAUUUGCCAAGUUCUCAUAAUUCAGAUUAUGAAAAGGGAUGCCGUAAUCAUAAUCGAAUUUUAGAACGCAAAUAAUGGACCCAUAUACAGAAUUUCCUUAUGUUGAGCCAUUCCAACAUGAAAUUCAUAUAUAUCCUUGACUAAAUGAUUAAAACCUCACGAUCUAAGCUUAUAGAUUUGAGAUGAAGCAUAAUUUCCUCUCCCUUAAUUAUAGCAAAACAACUUUUUCCCAAUUGAAACUUUUGUUUUCUAUAAUUAACAUUGCUAACUUGCAAUACUUAUCAUAAUUAUCAUGCUCCCACUAACAUGAUGAUUAUUAGCAUAACACUUAUGCUCCCACUAGCUUUGACAUGUACUCAGAAAUCAGCUGGACAGUCUGAAAUUUAGAUUCAUACACCCUUUCCGUAGAUAGCUCACCUGUGUGUCUAAGCAAUUUCAAGAACCAUGAAAAGGGAUACCGUAAUCAUGGUCUCAAUUGCUUAGGCAUUUGCCAUUUCUCACAAGUCCAUGUUAGUGUGCCGGUUAACCACACGCGCUCCACUAACGACUUUUGAAAAUGCAAAUAACACAAUUGAUAUCUUCGUAAAAUCUACUUAGUGAAAGCGUUUCCUCACCAUCAUUUUCAUGAAUCGGAGAGAAACCUUAUGACACUUAGAUUUAUAUGGUGUAUGAGUUCCUACCCAUAUGAAUUUGUCAAACCAUAAUCACAAGACAAAGAUAAUGACAAAUCCAAAACCAUAUGGAUUGAACUCAAUCUUAACUUCUUGCCACCUGGCAGCUCAAGGGCCUGCCAUUGCUUCCAAGUUGUUAUGCAACAAACUGAGAACUCUAAGAACUCAUAUGCAAAGCCAACUUUAACUGGAAUGGGCACAGAUAUGUCAACACGAUAGGUUAUAAACCUCAAGUCGUGUGCUAGUGAAGAACUUUAGGUUUUAUUCUUGAUUAUUUCUUGAGACUUUCAAGACCUUUAAGACUCCCACUGUCCUCUUGACAUAUAAGACUCCCUUGUCAAACAUCCAAGAGAUAGUGCGGAUUCUAAUCAAGAAAAACACUUUACCCAAUUGGCCUAAGUUGGUCUUUGUUUUAUCCAAAACAUCACAACUUACCAAUUUCAAAUGUACAAGAGUAGAAAACUUUUACUCUUACAUUUGACAAGUGUUUUAAACCUUCUUUAAGACAUGUCACUCAAAUGACAAUCUUGGAGUAUGACUCUAAGACUUGUAUUGGAACGAAGUAUGACUCAUCUUCUUGAUUUAACCAUUUCAACAAUUCAAGUUCCUCUUCUUAGUCAUAAGAAUGCACUAAGAUUUCCUUAGAGAACUAAUUUUGAUAUGGUUUCUUAAUCAUUAAGAUGAUCACAAAACUGAUACUAAAGUACUCUCCCAUCUUUUCAGAUUUGAGAAACUUUUAUCCUUCUGCCUUAUUUGAUUCUUCUUAUCGAUCUUUAGUGGUGGACUUAAUCAGUGCACAAGAAUGUGUACUCGAUCCCUAAGUCCUUUACUUGACUCACACAUCCAUGUGAACAAGUAAUUAGUCUUAAUUUUCCAAAACUUGAAAGUUCUCAUUCAUCAUGCUAUACAACUUGCAUGAUUCCAAGUUCCGGUCCAAUUGAAACUUGGGUGAUGAGAAUCUUUCCUUAUUUGGUAAAUUUAGACAUUACCACAAAUGAAAGAAUCAAUUUCAUAUUUCCACUCUUGCUCUUAAUGGAAUCAUAUAAGCAACAAUUUUUCCUCAAAUGCCAUUGUAAGGAUAUUUUAAAAUAAAUAAAAUCAAAAAAAUUUUCUUUUAUUUUAAAACUUUGCGGAAAAACUUAUCCUUACAAUCCAUAUGAAAACUUGUUGUUAUCUAUUCCUAAGCAAUAUCUCAUAACUCCUAAGAAGUAGCUCAAGAAUCCGAUCUUCAAACUAUGCGAUAGAAAUCCAUCUACGCCAUCAGAUUCAGCAUAUUCUUUCUUUAAGUUUCUUCACUUUUCUUUGAUUCUUAAAACAUCACCAUGUGACCCAGUCACAUCAUGUAUCAAGAAUCUCAGAAUAGAAACUUAACAGAGUUAGAUAGUGGACUUUACCUGAAGUAGAGUCAAACUUAUUGACUUUAACAUCCUUAGGUAAAUUUGGCAGCUUCGCAACCAAUGCCCCUUCCUUUGGCAAUAUAAACAUAUGGACCCUUUGAUAAUGGUACACGGGACUAUCACAGACUUAGCUUUUCUCUUUACCAUUUGGUCAACCGAGUUGACUAUGGCCGAUCCCUUUCCAUUGGGAAGAGAAUGCUUUACUGGAUAUCCAAUGUCAUCAUUGUCAAUGUCCAUAAAGUUUUAGGAAGUUGAUCUUAGCAAAUAGAUAAGAUCAUUAAGGGUCUUGUCAUAGUCUGUUUCAUAGGUGUCCCAAAGGAACUCACUAUGUGACUUAGAAAGUGGUUGAACCACCAACUUUCUCAAGACUUUGACACCCAACUCUCCCGGCUUGUCAAUAUGUGACUACAUCUCCAAGAUGUGACCACACCUAGACCUUGCCUUGCCAAUAGGGCCUGAGUGACCUUAAACUUUUCAAGAACUUGUGGGUUAGGGAGAAUAAUUUGAAGAGGUGAAGAAGUAUGAUAUCCAUGGGACAUCAUCUUCAUUAGGAAACCUUGUUUCAAGAGAUUUGGGAAGAUCAUAGGUGUCUAAACCAGACAUCUUUUGGGAGAUAUUCAAGAUAGUUGAUUUAAAGUCCUUAAUAUGACACCCAAUAUGAAAUAUUAAGGCUAGGACCCAACAAACUAUUUUAUAACUUAGAAGAGGUAUGCCGUAAUCCAAGCUAUAAAAUAUUUGAAGGUAGGUGAAUGACGAUUCACCAAUUUCCACCAAGAUAAACGAAAUGUAUUAUUAGGUUUUAAUUGGUUUUGAAACUCCUAGAUCUUUGAGAUUCAUUGAACUUUUCAAAGGCAUGUUUCAAUCUCGAGUGUGCCCUUCAGGUUUUGUGACUGGGAUGCCGAGGAUCACAAAACAAGGUGUGAAGUAACCAUGCAAAUCACUUGGUACCCUUAAUAAAUUACCCCUCAAUCGAUGUGCCGGUUAACCACACACGCUCCAUCGAUACUAUGAUAAAUAUUAAGUCACCCUUUACCUACCUUGUUAAGUCCAAGUUAGUGUGCCGGUUAACCACACACGCUCCACUAACGACUUAGACAAAGUGUAAAGUGUAAUUUCAUGGAUUAGCACCUUAUUCACAUUUUUCCUAAGUAACUAAGAUUGGGUAUUAUUAAGAGUUUAGUUACUUAGUAUUAUCAUUAAUACUUUUAAUGAAGGGAGAAUUCUAGUCCUGUCAAACCCGUUCGGCUAACGACCCUCCACCAGUCAAGCAAGCGGUGGGUGAGAGUGGACACCCAUUAAGUUGCCAUUUUAUAGGCAACAACCUUAUACCCACCUUAUAGACCGGCUUCGUGAAUGAGGCGUACUAGCGGUAAGACUGACUUUACUCUUAUACAUAUAUAUAUUAUUAACUUAUAAUAUUAUAAAGUAUAAGGGUUGAAUUUUAACUUUUAAAAUUCUAAGGGCUAACUUGGAAUUAAAGUAUUCAUAAGUGAAAACUUUACAAAUUCCAAAACUUGAGGGCAAGUUUUGAAACUAUUCAAAACUAAUUAAUUCCAUAACUUAUGUGUUUAAAGUAGUUUUAAUCCAAAAACUCUUCAAGUUCCAUAACUUGAGGACAAGUUAUGGAAGACUUUAAACUAAUAAAAGAAUUAACUUUUCUUUAUUUUAUAACUUAUGGAAUUAAUUAAGGUUACACCUUUUUUUAUUUUAUUUUAUUUUAUUAAAUGAAGAGACUCUUGGUCCUCCAUAACUUGAGGACAAGUUAUGGAGUCAUAAAACCAUUUAAUUAGAACUAGACUCUUCAUUUUUGUAACCUUUGCCAAUUUUUAUGAGUUUUAUGAUUCUUAAAUGUGACUUUUCAUAUAACUUGAGGACAAGUUACAAAAACACAUUUUAGAAUCAAUUCUUAGAUUAAUUUGGAUUAAAACCAACUAUCACAUAAUUUUAUUCAUUAAUCUAAAUUCACUCAUAAAACAAGGUAACACAAAAAACUUUUGGUGAUCCAUAACUUAUUCUUAAGUUAUGGAAUCCUUUAAAACAUUAACACCAAAUUUUGUAACUCAAAAAAAACUUUGAAUUAAUUUUUUUUUUAAAACCUUUUCAUAUCCAUAACUUAUGGAGGUUUCAAAAAAUAAAACUCUUUAGAUCAAACUUUUAAAACUAAUAAAAUAAUCAUAUUAUUUUAUCUUUUAUUAAAUUUGACCUAAUUCAACUCAUAAAGCAAAUUAUUCAAAUUUUACAAAUAAUUAGUUUUUCACAAGAACAAGUAAUUAUUUUAAAAUUUGACAAACUUCAUAUUUUUUUUUUUUUUUUUUUUUUUUCAACUUUGAAAAUAAAAUAUUUGCAUCAAUAUAACAGAAAACAACCCGUGGCUCUGAUACCACUGUUGGGUUUUGAGCAUUCUAACACUUCCUAAGUGUACAUGCAACCCUAAAUACCUUGGAUCUAUGUUUUCUCUAUUAUACAUGCAAAUAAGAACAUCCAAGGUAUUAUCCUAAUCUAGCAUACAAAAACUAUGAAUGUAACAAGAUAGAAUACAUACCUCUUGAUGUAGCUUGAUGUCUUCAAGCUUUAAGAGCUUAGCCCCAAUAGUGUGGAAGCCUCAAGUGGAAUCACAAAUCACCAAGACACCUUGGAAUACUUUAGAGAAUAUGAUUACUUGGUUCUCUCUAGUGAAAUUGGCUAGCCCUUCUUUAGUGUAUCCACACUAGUGCCAAUUUCACCAACCAAAGACAUCUUUAUAUAGUAUGGAGGAUUAGGGUUAAACCCUAAUACCCAUGACCUUUCAUUUCCUAGGAUCCAUGGGUUAAACACUCCAUGGACUAUCCAUGAAAGCUUAGCCCAACCUAAAUGAACUUGGCCCAUUCCAUAUAUAUAAGAGUCCAUAUUUAAUUAGUUCCUUUUGAUCACUUAAUUAAUUAUAAAUUAAUUCUUGAUCAAUACUAAUUAAAUAAUAUGAUUCCAUAUUAAUAUAUUAGAACUUAUAAUAUAUUAAUAUUAAUCAUAAACAUACUAUUCUCAAAAGAUUAUCCAUAUAAAUUGUGUCGGUGAAGUGCAACCCAAAUGGACCAUGCCGGGUCGGGUCAAGUACAUACCAAAUAUAGUUAUGGACUUAGACAUUAAUCCAACACCUUAAACAUUCUAAAACUACCUCCAUAUGAGCUUACGGACGUAAACGCCCCAUGAAUGUCUUCUUAGGCCGUAAACUCCUAAAACUUAGUCAAAUGGUGCCUUAAAUUCAUUCCAUGGCUUGUAGAUUUAGCUAGAAACACUUGUAAUGACCUAGGACCACCAAAACAUCAAAGGAAAGUGUGUGGAGGAGCUUAUGGCCGUAAACUCUUAGUUUACUUCCGUAAACUCCAUUAGAUGGUCCAUAUGUUGGUUUAAUCCAUUCCUAUACCCUAGAUUUGAUCCUAGCUAAUUUUCCCAAAUGAUAUAAGGCCAUUUAGCACCCUAGAACACCCCGCCAUGAGUUUACGGCCGUAAACUCAUGGGGACUGGGUCAUUAGGCUCAUAAAUCCUCUUAUGAGUUUACUCUUGAAGAGUAAACUCCAUAUCCAAGCCAUAUAUGUCCUUAGAUGUCACCCGGGUCACUCCAAACACUUAUUUUGAAGUGUUUUCGCAUCUUGGAGUGUAUAAUCUUAUAUAAUUAGUGGUUCAAAGUCUAAUUAGAUACAAAUGUGUAUCAUUUCAUAUUACAUAGGAACGUCGCACGUUUUCAAGCCUUGAACUGACGUUUAGCAUCCAAACUGACACAUUCCGCGAUUGGUGAGUUCAUACCCCUACCCUUUUUCAAUGUUUUUCAAUGUUUUCAGGGGGGAAUACAAGCAAAAGUACAAGGAAAUCUUGUACUCAAACUUAUGAUUUCAUUUGAUCUAUUUCAUAUUUCGUAUGCUUUUAACAUGGAAAACUGUAUUAACCAACCGUUCAACUUGCAUAGUAAACCGUCAUGUUAUUUGUGAAACUCGUUUUAAAAUGUUAUAUUUUAUAUUUCACAAAUAAAUUUCCAUAUCAUUAUUGUUAAAAGCAUGAAUCUUAAAACUUUAAAACUGUUCUUGAUAUAACUCCCCUUAGAUACGCGAGUGUAGGAAUAAUAACAUUAAACUUAGAACUUUACCACUCCCCAUAGAUACGAGAGUGCAUGAAUAAUAACAUUAAACUUAGAAUUUUACUCCUCCCCGUAGAUACGAGAGUGUAGGAAUAAAAACAUUAAAACUUAGAACUUUACCACUCCGGUAGAUACGAGAGUGAAGGAAUAAUAAUAUUAAACUUAGAAUCUUACCACUCCCCCUAUUUACGAGAGUGGUGGAAUAGUAACAUUAAACAUAGAAUUUUAGGCAAGUCCUUGAUAAUACUCCCCUAUUUACGAGAGUGAACGACUAAUUAAUCAGAAUUUCCCAUUUUAUUGUCUUUUAAUUCAUUAAUCUUAAUAUUGGAGACACGUCCUUGUAACACUCCCCCUAUUUACGAGAUUGUAGGACUACCCCCAUAACCAGAAUCAUUUGGAGGGAGAACGUGACUUGAGUGUAUAGAUCAAUACGGGAUUGACAACCCCGCACCUCGCUGCUAGCUACAGUCGAACUGAAAGUUUCAAGGGUGACAAAAGUCAAAAAAAAAGAUACUGGCCCUGUUUCGAGCUUUAUCCAGUCUAUAGUAUGGUUACGGAACUCGCAAUUUAGAUUAUGAAUACUUUUAAACUUACUUAUUAGUUUUAUAUAUACGUGUUAAAACUAAUGUACUUUACUAGGAUAAACAGGUUUUCAGGAAACAUCACACAAACACAUAAAGUGUGGUAGACAGUUGUACAUUACUUUCAGAAACCGAUAACAAACUAUACACUUUUAGGAAUACAAGAGUUUUUCCUGGGAUAACUGAACUAUACUUAACUAGACGGUGUAACUAAUGGAUAACUAAACUUUACACUUAGGAAAAUCAGGGUUUUUCCUAGGUUAACAAACUGUACAUAACCGGAUCGUAUAACAAACGGAUAACUAAACUAUACUUAUAAGAAAAUAUGGGAUUUUCUUGGAUAAAACACUUUUUUGAAAAACAAAAGGAAGCUUGUACAUUUUCAGAAAACAAACCUCUUAUGAACUCACCAGCUUUAUGCUGAUUUUCAAACUGCUUGUAUUCUCAGGUCCACAUUAGACAGGUACCCAACGAUCCUUUUGGCGAAGACGGAGCGUAGAAGUCACGUCUUUACUUUUGUACAUAUGAUAUAUAUGUAUGACACUUGUAACACUUUGAUUUCAAACAAAUGUAAUAACUCUAUGUAAUGUAUUGUUUCGUGUUUACUAUGCUUACUAUGUACAUUGGUUGCGAUAUUCAUGAUGUCCUCCGCCCCGCAACGUUUCCGCCUUCUGUUUCGGGGUGUGGCAGUUAUAAUAACCGGGAUAUAGUUAUUUUCUAUCUGUAUGUAUACAACUAUCAUAAAUUUGUUAGCAUGUUAUUGUUAUAGUAGUAUAAUAAUGUAGAUAUUGAGUUAUACUUAGGAAUCGAUAUAUAUGUUGUGUACGAUAUAGUUCCAGAGUUAUAAUCGGAAGUUUUAUAUGUUAAUUGAUAAGUAUGUUGUUAUUAUUGGUUUUAUGUCAAUAUAAAACCAGGUAUGUUGUAUGUUCUUGUUAUUGGUUUUAUGUCAAGAUAAAACCUGGUUUUAAUUCUAAUUAUAGUUGUUGUACUACCGCAAGGUGUGAUCCUUGUACUACCGCAAGGUGCAAGGUGUGAUCCUUGUACUACCGCAGUGUGUGAUCCUUGUAAUGAUAAUAAGAGGUAUAAAACUAAGUCAUACAGUCGCAUUUACGGACUCAUGGUAGCAUAACUUUAGAAGCAUUAUACUUUGUCGAUAUACAAGUAUAAAUGUUAAGUAUAAGUUUCCCAAAAACUUAUACUCUAAGUAUAAGAAUCUAGUAGGUAUAUUACUUGUACAUUAAGUAGACCACUAUACCUAUCCUACUUACUCGUAUAGAAUUGAAAUAGAUUUAUACAUAGCAGUUUUAGUCGUAUAGAAUUGAAAUAGAUUUAUACGUGCGAUUUUACUCGUAUAGAAUUGAAAUAAGAUUUAUACGUAGCAACUUAGUUUGUAUGGAAUUACAAACAUUUAUAUUCAUACUAUAUGAUUCUUAUAGGUAUAUACUUAUUUGGUAAGUAAACCAUUAUACCUAGGAUAUAUAUACUAAACACUGGAAAGUCAAAAUGAUACUUUCAAAACUAUACUUUUGAACAUGGAAAAUGUAUUAUUUUUAUAUGGAGUCAAAACCUGUUAACUCACCAACUUUAUGUUGACGUAUUUUAAAAUGCAUGUGUUUUUAGGGUGUUGAUAACUAUGAUAUGAGAAAUGACGUUACACCGCCCGGUGUUUCCGCCGAUGGUUGGGGUGUGACAGAUUGGUAUCAGAGCUAUUAACUAUAGUGAAUUAGUACUUUCUUAGGAAAGCACGGCUAUAGUUUAGGGAUUACUCUGUUAGGUUUAGGUGUAUCCUUAGCCUACAAUUUAAAGUAUUAUUAAUUAUACUACUAAAGGACUACUUACGGGAGUGGUGACAAGGAUAGACACGUCGAUUUGGGUUGUUGGAUUUUAAAACGGCUAUAUGCUAAAAUGAUCCUGCCCACCAACUGUCCUGACUGGAUGGUGCCUUAUCAGCUAGACCUGAAGUAACAAACAAUAAUUAAUAGAGCAUGAAUACAACAAAUAAUAAAUAUAGAGUCAUAUAUGAAGACUCGGACCCGCAAUGAGAAUACACCUAAAUACCCGGAAUGCUUUUGAUCUCAAGGAUUUAGAUCAGAUAUUCCAACUAAAGUUCAUAUGUGCAUAGAUCUUAUCACAACUAGGUGUAGGUGUACAACUAUAUUUUAUUAUGAUCAGAUCAUAUGAACUAUUUAAAUUAGAAGUAAUAUUUGAUUAACUAAACACUUGAUGAUCCAAAAUGUAUAGGAACUAAACAAAAUGCCUAGAAGAAGUAGCGCUCGUCUAAACCUAAACCAACGACCAGAACCAUAACAACAACAACCGCAACCACCACCACGAGAAACAAACCCUCUAAUAAGUUCAUCAUAACUUGAAGAAAUCAUAGCCCAGAGAAUCGUUGCAGCUCUUUCUAGUGUUACAAUAGGAGGAGUUAGAAAUGAAGGUAAUUUAGGGACCGCCAAAAUAUGUGCCUACAAGGAUUUUAUGAAUUGCAAACCUAAUAGCUUCCAUGGAAUGGAAGGGGUUGUUAGCUUGACCCCAUGGAUUGAAAAGACAGAAUUAAUAUUUCAAAUAAGCUUCUGUCCGGACGAAUGUAAUGUACGAUUUGCUGCGUGUACCUUUGUUGAUGCAGCACUUACAUGGUGGAACAGCCAUGUGAAUACAACGGGUAUUGAUGCUGCCAAUUCCAUGAAAUGGGAAGAGCUGAAGAGGAUGCUAGUAGAGGAGUAUUGUCCCAGGGAGGAAAUACAUAAGCUGUAACAAGAAUUGUGGACCCUAACCAUGAAGGGUUCAGAGAUAAAUGUUUAUACCGCUAGAUUCAAUGAUCUUGUGGUGAUGUGUCCGGAACAUGUAACCCCAGAAUACAAGAAGAUUGAGCGAUAUAAAUUGGUUCUAUCAUCGCAAAUCAAAGGAAUGGUGAUGGCAUCGAAGCCUACAACAUAUGACAGUGCAAAGCGUAUAGCUCAUCAGCUAACAGUACAGAAAUCCAAGUGGGAUUUAUAGCUGAGUCUCCCGAAUCUGGAAUGAACAAGCGCAAAUUUAAUGGCAAGAAUCGCAUACAAUCAUCUGAGGAAAGACAAUAUGUGGCAACUAAUUAUGCAUCCACAACAACAAUACCCAUGCAACCAAGGAAGUAUGAUCGAAAACUCCCAUGGUGCACUUAGUGUAAUCGUCAUCACCUAAGAAUUGUUCAUGGUGCAGUCAAUGUAACCAUCAGCAUGCAGGUGAUUGUUAUAUUUGCAUGAAGUGCAAAAAGAAGGGACACGUUACCAAUUACUACAGGAGCACAACAACUACAAUAGUAAAUCAAGGAACAAACAUUGGAACCGGCUAUGAUGGAGGAAGAGCAUGUUUUAAGUGUGGUGAAAUUGGACAUAUCAAGAAGGAAUGUCCAAAGUUAAGGAGUCAAGGAAGUCAGGUCGUGGUAGGUCAAUUGUAAUAGGAAGCAGGGAAGCUAUCUAGUACCCUUCAGUGGUAUCUAGUUAAAAAUAAAUUUCAGGACGAAAUAUUAUCAACGGGGGGAGAGUGUAACACUAGUCAAAAUAGGUCAAUAACAAUCACAUGUGAUUAUACCAAUCAUGUAAUGUGAUUAUGUUAAACUAGUAACGUAGUAAACUCACUAUGUAUUUCACGAUAAUUCUAAUAUAAAUAUGAACUUUCAUACAUACUUUAUGGUAUAAAUCAAAGUAUACGUCCAUACGAUUCCAAAAAUAUAGAGAACAUCUAAAUCUUACUUUGCAUGAAGAAGUUAUGAUAAACAGAACAUUGUAAAAUCUCUAUAACAUAAGGAAUUUAAAAUAGAGAAUUAGCUAUUGGAGUCUAAAAGAGAGUUGUAGUGCUCAUAAAUACCUACGCGUGGAUAUAAAGAACGUCAAAAACGGAGUUCAUAUGCAAAAGUUACAACUGUCUAAGUGCAAUACACGUGUCAGAAACCCUAAUCUGACUGGAUUUACGACGUGAGCCUAAAAACUCACGACGUGAGGAGUCAAACCGCCUCAUUUUGCAGCUAGAAGUCUACAGAAUGAUAACCCAAAAGCUCACGAUGUGAGCUAGGUUUUCUCAUGACGUGAGGACGCUUCAGGAUAAUAUUCGAGGCUAAAAAACACGCGUUAAAGUUAUGAGAUGACUCUUGCCAUAACUCACGACGUGAACCUAUCAUUUCUUACGUCGUGAGGGCCAAAAAUCUUCCUAUAAAUAGCAAGUUCAACCUCAGCCAUUCUUGCACCUGAUCUCCUUCCUCCUCUCUCCUUUGCUGAAGCCGUUUCGCUUCCCGGGCCCCGACGACCUCAUACCACUUACCGUUUCUGCUUAGAUUACAUAAAAUCACGCUGCUAAGGUUAGUUUCAUGGCCCCACUUUCUAAUAUUUUAUGGGUAAAGUGAAUGCUAAAUAUUAUAUAUACGUUAUUAUUAUGUCUAUAUGAUAGUAUAUCAUUAUCAACAUAGAUAGUUAUAAUAACCGGGAUAUAGUUAUUUCGUAUCUGUAAGUAUACAACUAUUAUAAAGUUGUUAGCAUGUUAUUGUUAUAGUAGUAUACUAAUGUAGAUCUUGCGUUAUACUUAGGAUUCUAUAUAUAUGUUGUGUAUGAUAUAGUUCCAGAGUUAUACUCAGAAGUUCUAUAUGUUAAUUGAUAAGUAUGUUGUUAUUAUUGGUUUUAUGUCAAGAUAAAACCAGGUAUGUUAUAUGUUGUUGUUAUUGGUUUUAUGUCAAGUUAAAACCUAGUUUUAAUUCUAAUUAUAGUUGUUGUACUACCGCAAGGUGUGAUCCUUCUAAUAAUAAUUAGAGGUAUAAAACUAAGUCAUACAGUCGCAGCUACAGACUCAUGGUAGCAUAACUUUAGAAGCAUUGUACUUAUUCGAUAUACAAGUAUAAAUGUUAAGUAUAAGUUUUGUAGAGUUUAUGUAUUGUAAAAGUCGAAGUGGUUGUUUCUUUUGGGUUUCGCAUAUUAGUUAUUUUACUAAGUCACAAUUUUAUGCGAAGCGUAUUGAAAUAGAUUUAGUAUAUUUUUUGUACACUCAGGUUUCCUAUAAAUAGGGACUGAGGUUAGAAGUAGAAAGAACUUUUGAACUCAAGUAUUCUUUCUGCUUAAAGCAUUGUAAUCAGUCUUCAUCAAUAUAUGAUCUGAUUAAUAUUUGCUCGUUGUGUUCUUACUUUUCUAUCAUUCAAUCAUAAUUGCUUUCAUAAUCUCGAUAACAAUUCUCUUCAAUUGGUGUCAGAGCAUGAUUCAAACUGCAUCGAUCUGAUUUUUGUGUUAGAAUCAUUUGCUUUUUGAGUAGUAACUUUACUCAAAAUUUUCCGCGCAUUUUGGUUUUGAAAAUCACUUUUGAUCUUCAGAUUUGAAUCGAUUCUGCCUUUGAAUUCUUUAGUCGAGUGAUCGAUUAGCAAUUUGUGAUCAUUUCAAUUGAUCAAUUCUCAAAUUCAUCAAGUUUUUCAAGCUUUCUGAAAUUUUCGUGUUCAUCAAUGGCGAACUUCAACAUGAAUACAAUGACUUCUUUCUCUCAUUUGCUUGGUUCUUCAACCAAAAUUCCGAUGUUAAUCCCUGAAUACUAUGAUCAAUGGGCUGAUAGAAUGGAGGAUUACCUUAAUGGAAUAGAUGAAGAACUUUGGAAUUGUAUCAAUGGAACAGUUCAUGUUCCUGCUAAUGUUCAAUCAAUUGGAUCAUCUACUACUUCUGCUGAAGUUAAUGAACAACAAAACCGUCUGAAGAAGAAUGAAAAGAGAUGCAUGAGGGAACUAAGAGGUGCUCUACCUCCUGUGAUUUACAAUUACAUCGUAGUUGUAAAACAGCUAAGGAAAUCUGGAUCACUCUAAAAGAGAAGUAUCAAGGUAGCGAAAAGACGAAGAUCAACUCUAUGAAGCAAUGUCUUGUUGAACUAAAGGAAUUCAGACAAAAGGAUGUUGAAACUCUUGAAAGUUACUAUGAUCGUCUAAAUGAGCUUGUCUAUCGUUGCAAUAGGUAUGGAGUCACUAGGUCUCUCAUGGAGUUCAAUUUAACAUUCAUCAUGGGCCUUCGCAAGGAAUGGCGAAGUGUGAGUAUGAUGAUUAAGAAUCAACAGAGUUUUGAUAUAACCAGCUUGAAUGAUCUCUACAAUCAGCUGAAAAAACACGAAAGUGAAGUUUCAGAAAUGUAUGAAGAAUCAAAACAAAGUAUUGGAGGUCCUUUGGCUCUUGUUUCAAUGGUAUCAGAAGUUGAAAUUAAUAAAAUAGAUGAUUCAUACAAUGAAGGUUUCUUAAUGAACUCUGAUGAUGAAGCUGUGGCAUUUUACUCAAACAACAGAGUUAAGAAAUUUUUCAAAAAGCCUUUUAAUCUAAAAGGAAAGGAAAAUGAUGCGAAGAAUGGAGUCGCAAAAGCUGGAGGAGAGGAGAAGAAGAAAGGGGAAAGGGAUUGUGUAUGAAAAGUCGAAGGAUGAGAAGAAAGCUGAAACAGAGGCUGAAAUGGAAAUGCUUAGGCAAGUUCAGAGCAUAAUGAGGCAAAGGGCAAGUGAUCCUCUCACAAUGAAUAAAGGAGAUCCUGCAAAGCUUUAUUCUUAUGAAACUAUAGAAUUGAAAGUGGUGGGGAGUGAGAUGCACGAGUUUGAGAAAAAGCCAAAAAGAAAUUAUGAUAUAGCCAAUUCAGACAAAUGCCAGUUGGAUUUUCCGAUUAAUGAAAUGCUUUUCAUAACGGUUCAGUACAAGAUAAGCGAGAAGUUUGAUAAUGCUGAUGACUACAUACACAUGAAAAUCAGAUCUCAUGCUGUAUUGGGAAAGAAUCCAGAUGAAGUAUGGUCCUUGAUGAAGAUUAAAAAGGUGUUGACGAUUAACAAGGAUUCGAUGUUUGAAGACACGCUUCAGAACUUUCGAUAUUUUGUCAUUCGAGCUCAUGACAAACAAUAUGACUUCACAAUAGCUGACUUUCCUAUGAUGAACUAUAAUGAUCUUAUCCAAGUGGCUCUUAUUUUGAAACAUAUGAAGGACCACAAGCUCAAAGGAUCUGAAACUGAAGUGUUUAGAAUCGGUUUCGCACAUGUCAAGACUUUUGUUGAUAACUACUAUGAUUGUUUGGCAUUAACCGAUGAAGAACUCGCAACGACCUUGAGAAGGGAAGUGAAUGUCCCCUGGGAAGAUACCUUGACCCAGUCAGCAUUAUCUAAGUAUGAUGAUGGUGAAAUAUGCCUGAAACCUUUUGGCAUGGUAUUUUCAGGGAGAUAUAUGAAGGGGAAGCCCAAGAAAUUUUUGUUCAAGGUCUCGGAAAUUGAAAGAUAUACUUCUUCUCAAUAUACAAAAUUUAUUGUUCAUAUGAAUAACUGCAAGAAGCAUAACGAAGGAGACAAGAGGGAGCUUAAGAAGGUGAUUACUUGGUAUGCUGAAGUGCGAAAGACAAUUCACUCAGCUGUUCAGAGACUUAUGGACAGAAUAGCUUCGACUGUUUACAAAGAGGGAGAUUGUAGAGUCUAUGUAUUGUAAAAGUCGAAGUGGUUGUUUCUUUUGGGUUUCGCAUAUUAGUUAUUUUACUAAGUCACAAUUUUAUGCGAGGCGUAUUGUAAUAGACUUAUUAUAUUUUUUUUACACUCAGGUUUCCUAUAAAUAGGGACUGAGGUUAGAAGUAGAAGAACUUUUGAACUCGAGUGUUCUUUCUGCUUAAAGCAUUGUAAUCAUUCUUCAUCAAUAUAAGAUCUCAUUAAUAUUUACUUGUUGUGUUCUUACUUUUCUAUCAUUCAAUCAUAAUUGCUUUCAUAAUCUCGAUAACAAUUCUCUUCAAGUUUCCCAAAAACUUAUACUCUAAGUAUAAGAAUCUAGUAGGUAUAUUACUUGUAUAUUAAUUAGACCACUAUACCUAUCCUACUUACUCGUAUAGAAUUGAAAUAUAUUUAUAUGUAGAGGUUUUACUCAUAUAGAAUUAAAGUAGAUUUAUACGUAGCAGUUUUACUUAUAUAGAAUUGAAAUAAGAUUUGUACGUAGAAACUUAGUUUGUAUGAAAUUACAAACAUUUAUAUUUAUAAUAUAUGAGACUUAUAGGUAUAUACUUAUUUGGUAAGUAAACCAUUAUACCUAGGAUAUAUAUANNNNNNNNNNNNNNNNNNNNNNNNNNNNNNNNNNNNNNNNNNNNNNNNNNNNNNNNNNNNNNNNNNNNNNNNNNNNNNNNNNNNNNNNNNNNNNNNNNNNNNNNNNNNNNNNNNNNNNNNNNNNNNNNNNNNNNNNNNNNNNNNNNNNNNNNNNNNNNNNNNNNNNNNNNNNNNNNNNUAUAUAUAUAUAUAUAUAUAUAUACACUAAACGUUGGAAAGUGAAAAUAAUACUUUCAAAACUAUAUUUUGAACUUGGAAAAUGUAUUAUUUUUAUAUGGAGUCAAAACCUGUGAACUCACCAACUUUAUGUUGACGUAUUUUAAAAUGCAUGUGCUUUCAGGAUGUUGAUAACUAUGAUACGAGAAAUGACGUUACACCGCCCGGUGUUUCCACCGACGACCGAGGUGUGACAUGUAGUCACCGUUGUAUUGUACAUAGGCAAUGUAUGAUUUAUAGGAAACUCUAUUCUAACUUGGCAGGUGUAAAAGCUUGGCUUGGUAUGAGAACUAUUUCGCUAUGAUAUACAUGGGAGAUACAAGACAUGUGCAUAAUAAGGAUCUAUGGAGAUAGAUCAAAGUGAUUCAUUGGAUUAAGCCAAAGUAUAUGUAAUGUUGAGGAAACUCGAUAUGCAGAACUCAAAAAGGAGUUUAGGCUGGCAUGACAUUGAGCAAUGCUAAUGUUCUAGUUCUACUAUUGAGCUAAAGCAAAUGAUUCGUGUCUCACAUGCUUUUGCUAUGGGAUCAAUCAUACAUGUCAUGACAUGUACCACAUCUAAUGACUUAUAUGCUUCAUGCAUCACAAGUUGGAUUAGUUUAAUUUGGCAAGAAUCAAUGAAUCAAGAUCAAGAACAUUCUUAAGUAUCCUUGGAGAACAAAAGAGAUGAUCUUGAUAGUACGGAAGAGAUCAUUGUAAGAGUUACAUUGAUGCUAAGUUCCAUACUAAUAAUGACGUUUCCAUUUGCAUUCGGAUUUCGUGCUUCUCUGAAUGGUAAAGUUUUAUCUUGGAAGAAUACAAAGUAUUACACCAUAGAGGAUUUUGCAAACUUAGAAUAUGUUGUUGUUGGUUAAAUUGCAAAGAAGACAAUGUGGCUGAAAGAGAUUCGUUAGUGACAUCUUUGUUGAAAUUCAAUCAUUGAUGGUCCUUAUGAAUUCUCUUUGUGACUUUAAGGCUCAACUUACCUCGAGUAUGGAUCCCAGGUCACACAAGCUCACAUGACAUAUACUCAGUAUGUACCAUCACAUAUAAGUUUUAAUUUGAUUUGGCGAUUAUUAAGUGGUGAUCUUAAUAUAUGAUGGGUUAGUGAUUGGACAUAGCAAAGAGAUUGCGCUAACACUCAUGAGUGCUUAAUAGAGAUUUAAGUAUUGGACCAACCCACGCUUAGAGAUUACUUCAUGGAUUCAGUCACGAGUAAUUCUAAGACGAUAAUACCUUCUAUUCUUCAAACCUAGAUACAUGUGGGGUUUUGCUCUAUGAUUCUAUUAUGCAUUGGACUACUCCAACGCUAAUCGUAACUGGUAGUCAUAAAGGGUAUGUCCAUGUGUGACAUGAUGAAAUAAACAAAAACUAUGUAGUCAAAGUUUAUUCGUUCCUUCUGCCUUAAUAGGAGAAGCGAUAUCUAUGGGCCCCUCGAUGACUUGGUGUUGACAUCUAAAGAGCUUGGUCGAGCCCUGACUGGAAUUGAUGUGUUCAAUUUAGUAGUCAGAUGCAGUCAUCACAAAUCUAUAUCGGAAACAUAAUCUUGAAUUCUUGAGAUUGACCUUUAUACAUGUCUUGAAUUCAUAUAGAUAUCAUAGAAUGAAGGGAUAGUUGAUCACUUAUCUAAGGGUUGAAUCUUGAUUAGAUCAAGAGUUCGGUAGUUGCAUUGGAUGGCUAACCCUCUGUUGAUUAUUGGAGAAAUAUUAGUCCUCAUAUAGUUGAUGACUUGUCCAAGUGGGAGACUGUUGGAAUAGCGUCCAAAGUCAUUAACUAUUGGUAAUACUUCUAAUAAUAGCAGGGUCCUUUUGGGUUGCACUUAAGACCCAAAUUGAGUAGAAUAAAUAAAGGAGAAAUUAGUUUAUUAAUUAUUAUGGUUAAUAAUUAAUUAGAAACUAAUUGGAAAUAUAUUUUGGGAAUUAAUUAACAGUUUAAUUAAUUAAAGGGUUGAAUGUUCAUUAAUCGAUAGUUGGUUAAUCAGGAAUGUUGCAGAACCUUAUGAAAUUAGGGUUGGAUGAAAAUCACUCGAUCCCACAUGGGAAAGGAGUGAAAUUUCGUGGUUAUGCUCCCAUCCCACAUGGGAAGUAGUACUAAACCUAAGGAGGCAUCCAAGACUAUAAAUAGGGCUUUAGGGAUUUCAUUCCUCCUUGCACCUUGGUUUGAAGUAUUCGCCAACCCUUCUUCCUCCCCCUCUUAGGGACGAUUUCUAACCCCUUUGGGUUUGUGAAAUUGACCAUUCUCCUAGUUAUUUUUAUUCCCUCUUUGAUGUCAUUAGGUGUGAUACCAUUAGAUGGAUUCUGGUUUGGGUCCUUUCAUCCAAGCAACUUCAUGGAGGUUCAAGAUCUCAAGCAUGGAGAUCAAGGGCAUCAUAAGAGGUAUGUUUUCUUACUUAUGUUUUAGUUUUCUAGGGUUGAUGUAAUUGGCAUGAAGCCAUAGAUCCAUAGGAUGCAUGUAUACUUAGGUAUAUCGUUGUUUCGAUUUUUCUGCUGCCUAGUUUUAGAGUGUAUUUAAUGCAUAGAAAACUCAACAAUUUAUUGACAAUAUCUUGUUUUAUUCCAAGACUCAAGAGCAGCACGAGGAGCACUUGAGGGAGACUGGACACAUUGAGGAGGGAGAGACUUUUUGCAAAGUUCCCUAAGUGCGAGUGCUGGUAGCGUGAGGUGUAGUUUCUGGGGCACCUUGUCAACCAGAAGGAUAUUCUAGUCGAUCCAGCCAAGGCCGAGGUCAUGUUGUUGUAGGAGGUUCUAAGGUCUCCAUCUGAGAUUCGGAGCUUUCUUCGUUUGGCUGGUUAUUAUCAAAUAUUCAAUCAGGAUUUCUCCAAGACCAUUGUUCUCUUGAACCGAUUGACCAAUAAGUCGAUGACAUUUCACUGGGGACCUGAUCAGCAUGCAGCAUUUGAGACUCUACGGUAGCGGUUGUGUGAGGCGCUGAUUUUGAUGAUUCCUGAGGGUGUUGAUGACUUUGUGGUUUAUUGUGAUUCUUCGAUCUUCGAUAUGGAGGCAAUAUUGAUGCAGUGGGGUGAUGUGAUAGCUUAUGCUUCGAGGCAGCUGAAGCCUCAUGAAGCGAAUUAUCUGACGCGUGCUUUGGAGUUGGGGGAUGUGGUUUUCACCCUCAAGAUUUGUCGGUAUUACCUCUAUGGGGUUCGUUGUACUAUUUACAUGGAUAACAAGAGCUUGAGGUAUUUGAUGGAUCAAUUAAAUUUGAACAUGAGGCAGCAUUGAUGGUUAAAUGUGGUGAGGGAUUAUGAUUGUGAGAUCCUUUAUUACCCGGGGAAGGCUAAUGUGGUGGCCGAUGCUCUCAGCCGCAAGGCGGUCGCGGCUCCGAUCAAAGACAUAUGUUGGAGCGGAUUCUUGAGGCUCAGGCAGAAGCUAUGAAAAAAGAGCACCGAAAAAGUGAGCGCAUUGUGGGUCAAGUGGCUUCCUUUGGUUCUGAUACACGUGGAUUGUUGACUCUGCAUUGAUGGGUGUGGAUUCCUUAUUGGGCGGUGUGCGCCAAUUUCUUAUGGAGGAGGUCCACAAGUCAAGGUUCUCCACUCAUCCAAGAGCGACGAAGAGGUAUAGGUAUCUUCGUCCUGAUUAUUGGUGGCCCUGCAUGAAGGUAGAUGUGGCAUGGUAUGUUGAGUAACGCCUGACUUCUAGAAAAGUCAAGGCCGAGCAUCAACCUCCUCACGACAAGAUGCAACCGUUGGAGAUUCACAUAUGGAAAUGGGAAGACAUCACUAUGGAUUUUAUCACGAAGCUUCCUAGGACAACACGCGUAGUGGAUUCUAUAUGGGUCAUCAUGGAUCGUUUGACCAAGAGCACGUAUUUCAUUUAAAUCAAAGAGAGUAUUUCUACAGAGAAGUUGGUCGAGAUUUAUGUCAGGGAGGUCGUGACACGUCAUAGGGUGCCGGUAUCAGUGUUUUCAGACAGGGAUGCUCGUUUUACUCUAGAUUUUGGAAGCGGUUUCAUGAUGACAUGGGCACUUGUCUACAAUUCAAUAUAGCAUUUCAUCCGCCGACUAAUGGUCAAAGUAAGCGAACUAUUCAGACUCUUGAGGAUAUGCUGCGUGCAUGCGUGUUGGAUUUUGGUGGGAGUUAGGAUACGUAGCUUCCAUUAGCGCAAUUUUUACAACAGUUAUCAUGCUAGAAUUGAUCGACCUCUUUUCGAGAUGUUCUAUAGGAGGAAAUGCAGGAUCCCGGUUUGUUGGGGUGAGGUCGGUCAGCGAGUCAUGGCGAGUACCGAGGAGAUACUCAAGACCGCUAAGCUGAUUUAGUAGGUUUGGAGCAAGCUCCAGAUAGCUCAGAUUCGACACUAGAAUUAUAUUGACAGGCACUUAUCAGAAUUGGAAUUUUAGGUGGGGGAUUUGGUUCUCCUGAAGGUGUCACCUCGGAAAGGUGUCAUCUGAUUCAGUUGUGGUAGUGUUUAGUGGAUCAUUCCACAGUUGUACCUUUGGAAGAUAUUUAGGUGGAUGACCUCCUGAAUUAUAUUGAGAGACCAGUGGCAAUUUUAGGUCGGAAGACGAGAACCUUGAGGAUCAAGGUUGAAGAGCUGGUGAAGGUGUAGUUGCUGCACCCCAAGGGGUCAAAGUGGGCUUAGGAGCCUGGGGAGGAGAUGAGGGAGCACUAUCUAGAGUUUUUCGGGGCAGCGGACUUCGAGGAAGAAAUAUGAUCCAAGUGGGGGAGAAUUGUAACACCCGAUGGUUCUAAGGUAUUACUUAUUUAAUUGUCUAAAUGAUGUAAAUUGUGUUGGGCUUAGAGUAUUGGGCCUUUAUGAGCGGGCUUAGUCGAGGUUGUACGCUAGGCAUAAGCCUGGUGUACGUGGGGUGUUAAGUCAUUGUAUGGAACGCGGAGGCAUGCAUGUAUGCGCAACGUACAAGGUGGGAUUUACAGGUUCUUGAGGCGGUAUUUUUAUGCCACUAUAUCAAACUAGUAAAAUAAAUAUUGUUUUAAUGUUUUAGUUACAUUUUUUACACAAAAUAUUAUAUUGAUAAUGUGACACUCAUGGCUUGAGGUAAUGAUAAUUUUCAAUUUUUUUUCUAAUUAAUUGUUAGACUAUGAGGUUAAUGUUGGAUUAUUCAGUUGGGCCUUUAGUGAGUGGCUCGUUAUAUAUUUGGGCUAUCUGAAGACGUAUGUUGGGCGUAAGCUUGACGUACGCGGGGCGUAGUGGCAGCAUUAGAUGCGGGGGCUGAUACCCUAAUUUUUAGGGUUUAAUCCAUAUAAAUGUUGGGUUUUGAGCAUUCUAACACUCCUAAGUGUACAUGCAACCCUAAAUACCUUGGAUCUAUGUUUUCUCUAUUAUACAUGCAAAUAUGAAUAUUCCAACAUAUUACCCUAACUAGCAUAUAAUAUUUGUUUACUUGGGUAAUAUAAUAGAUAAAAUACAUACCUUGUUGAUGUAGCUUGACUCCAUGAAGCUCGAGAGCCUAUGACACCUCAAAUGGUUCACACAACAUCAUCAACACUUGGAAUAACCAUGAAAAGAAUAAACUUCAUGCUCAAAUCGGCUAGCCCUCAUAUAUGUAUCACUAGUGCCGAUUUCUAGAGCUAAAGGGGUCUUUAUAUAGUGUGGCUAUUAGGGUUACACCAUCUAGCUCAUGACUUUACCCAUUCCUUAUGCUCCAUGGGUUUUAACCUCCAUGGAGUAUCCAUGGGUCACCACAUGGGUUAAACCCAACAUAAGGAAUCUUGGAUCAUAAUCCCACAUAUAUAAGAAUGAAUGAUUUACACAAUCAAUCCCUAUAUAUUUAAAUAGUUUCUUUUGAUCAUUAAAUUAAGUCCAAAUUAAUUCUUGAUCAAUACAAAUUAAAAAACAUGAUUUUGUAUUAAUAUAUUAGAACUUAUAAUAUAUUAAUAUGUCACAAAUGUCCUCUUCUCACAAACGGUCUAUCUAAAUGUUUCGAUGCCAUGCAACCCAAAUGGACCAUGCCGAGUCGAGUCAAGUACAUAACAAUUAUAGUUAUUGACUUAGACACUAAUCUAACAAUCUCCCACUUGGACAAGUCUAAAACUAUUAUUGUGUAUGACUUCAAAAACCAACUGGCAAUCAUAGCUCUCAAAAGCCGUUGUCGAACUCUGACCUUGUCGAUGAACUUUGACCUUUGUCAAUGACUUGUCCAUUAGAUAAGGGAUCAUAUAUUCCUCCAUUCUAGAUAUCAUAUGGACUGAGACAUGGAUUAUAAAUCAUUCUCUCUAUCCAUUUGUUGUUUCCUGAUUUUCGAUUUAUGACGACUGACUGAUUAAACAGAUCAAAUCAGUCCUGGCUUGGCCAAGCAC